CAAAAAGCUAGAUCUUUUUUGGGGUUUGGACUCGACAGCAACUUUUGGAAGCAGUCAGGUCAAGGAUUCCAAAAUUUACUGUUACUUAGGGUCUUAGAUUUGAGUUUAGAUUAUAAAAUAGACUCUAAAGGGUGGAGAAUACCUUCGAGCAUUGGAAAACUCAUUCAUUUGAGAUAUUUGAGCUUACAAAUGGGUUGGGCAACUCAUGUACCUUCUUCUUUACGGAAUCUAAAGCUUCUAAUCUAUUUGAGUAUUUACUCCCGGGAAAGAGUUCAUCUGCCAAGUAUCUUUAAAGAGAUGGUACAGUUGAGGUUCCUGCUGCUUCCCCCUUUUGUUGACGCUAAAACAAAGUUGGAAUUGGGUAAUCUAGUGAACCUGGAGUACUUGGGCUGGUUCCGAUCAGAAUACGGUAGCAUCACUGACUUCCUCCGAAUGAAAAAGCUCAGGACUCUCGAGAUAUUUCUCAAAGGCAGGUAUACUUCUGAAAUUCUAGCGUCAUCUCUCGGUGAAUUAACAAACCUGGAGGAGUUUAGAUUGAUCGAUGAGAACAACGAAUCCGAUGGGGCUUAUGAUUUGGAUUUCGUUUGUAAUUUCAUUAAGCUAAGGCAUUUAGUGAUAUGGAUGCAUAUGACAAGGCUUCCUGAUCACUCUCGAUUGCCUCCCAACCUUGCACACAUAUCUCUAACUAACUGUGAAAUGGAGGAGGAUCCACUGCAGAUUCUGGAAAAGUUGCUUCAUUUAAAGUCGGUUGAAUUAUCAAGUAAUGCUUUCGUGGGGAGGAAGAUGGUGUGUUCAAAAGGUGGAUUCCCUCAAUUAUCUAAGCUUGAAAUGUCGUACCUAGACGACUUGGAAGAGUGGAUAGUGGAAGAAGGGUCGAUGCCAUGUCUUCGUACCUUGUCUAUAUGGUAUUGUGAAAAGUUGAAGGAGCUACCGGAAGGGCUCAAGUAUAUCACUUCUUUAAAGGAACUGGAAAUCAUACAUAAGAAGAAGGAGUGGGAGACGAAACUCGUACCAGGUGGGGAAAGUUACCACAAAGUCCAACACAUUCCCAGUGUUCAAUUAGACUAUCGUGGCGACGAAUAAGGAGAAUACAACCGUCUCAGGUAUAUAUACUUUUGUUUGGUAUAAUGUCAAUAUUGUUCUCCAUGAAGUUUAGUGUGGAAGUCUCAACUAUCUAACCUUUUUAUUAUUCGGUUUUCAGGUGAACCUACUCAGAAUCAGUACCCACUUAUUGAUUCUGUGAUGUGAUAUAUGUCGUUUUUGUUGUAUUGGUGUGUGAAGUUUACAUAUCUUGUUUGUGAUAUAUUUCGUUUAUCUGUUUGCAUGCUCAUUCACUGUAAUGCUAAGUUUGGAAAUACAUUUGUAUAUCUUCUUCGAUUUCUCCGUUGUGUGUGCCUAGUUGACUUGUAUGGUCGGAAUUUGAGAUAGAACGGUGCUUUGAUAGUGAUCACUGAACAUCAUUCUUAACAUGAUUUUAUCAUUUGGUUUAAGGAAUGUCAAGAGCUUUUAAAUGAAACAUCUAGUUAAUCCGUUUUAACAGAUAUAGAACCUUGGAGUUUAUUGAAACCAAAGUCAAGAGUUUCUCACCACAAUGGGACUCUCCUCACAGUUGAUAUCAAUGGCGCAAUCAAAUCAUAUAUACAACACCUUAGAGGAUUCAAGAAAGUCUCUUGGUUCCAUUCCUUCGCGUCCUGGUUCGCUUUUUUCACUAUUCAAGUGAUCAGCACUUUUGAUUGAAAACUGAUACCACACAGCAUCCACUUGAAACUAAACAUAAAUAUACAACCAAACAGUUACGCAAUGAUAGCUCAACCAGACAGAACCGAACCGAAUCUUAGUUUUGCUUUCCAAAUUUUAAAUAACGGGAUAAACCGGUUGAUUCUCAUCCAGUUCUGUAAUUUGUCUGACACUACUCAAGUGAUCAGCACUUUUGAUUGAAAACUAAUAACACACAGCACCCACUUGAAAGUUGAAACUAAACGCAACUCAAUGAUAAACCGGGAUAAACCGGUUAGUUCUCAUCGAGUUCUGUAAUUUGUCUUUUACUAUCAAACCGGACAAAUUGAUGGUUUAAAAACAAAACUCAGUCUGGAUUAUAAUAAAAUCAGAUCAUGAAACUCUACCAAACAAGAGUCCUUUCGGUCUCUGCAAAUUUGUUUUCGACUCUAAUUGAGAGGAGGAGAAGUCCAGUACUUGAAACGAAUCCAAAAACGCGGUGAUCCGUGCGUUUUCAGACACCAUCGCGACCGUAUGCAUAACUGGGUUAGAGCUUCCUCAUCCGAUUUCACCGGAACUCCUCCACAGCCCAGGAGGUAAAUUAAUUACUUCUUCUCCAUUCAAUUUCCGAUUUUAAUUUCAGCUGAUGAUUUUUAUUCUUCAUCAGUGGACAUACAGCUGUCAAUGUCGGAAAAUCCAUGGUCGUGGUGUUCGGCGGCCUCGUCGACAAGAAGUUCCUCAACGACAUCAUUGUUUAUGACAUUGGUAAUAUUAUACUUCAGCCUAUGAUUAUUGAUUCCUUGAUCCAAAGAAAUGCUUUUUUUUUUUAAUUUCUCUUGAGUUACUGUCUUGGCUUGCUUUGUUUAUAAUGAAAGACUAGUGUUUCUGGUAGUUUAUUUGUCUGUUAAGCUUAGUUAGGCUGAUGCUUCCAUCAAAGAUAGUUACUUUGGAAAAAUUAUAGAAAACUGAAAACUUCACAAUGAAAUUAUUCGAUUCGGUGUUAGUUUUGUUGCUUAGCAUCUUUUGUCCCCUCCUUGGCAUUGUUUUAAUUAUCAUAUGGUCAGCUUUUUUAAUCAUGUGAGAAUCGGUUUGUCUUAUGAUUCGGUCGACUAGAGAACAAACUCUGGUUUGAGCCAGAAUGUACCGGCAGCGUGUCUGAAGGAAAAGUUGGUCCUACACCUCGCGCGUUUCAUAUUGCCAUCACUAUUGAUUGUCAUAUGUUCAUCUUUGGUGGACGUUCUGGUGGCAAGAGGUACUCACUACUAUUUAUUUUCUAGUUAUAAGCGUUUUUGCAUUCUUUUUUCAGUAACUUCUAUAAAUCAAUUUCAGGUUGGGUGACUUCUGGGUUCUAGAUACAGGUAAGUGUACAAUCAUAACAAUGUCACUGAGACCUGCCUGGAACUUUUUAAUACCCUGCUGCUGACAUUUUCUGCAGAUAUAUGGCAGUGGUCUGAGCUAACCAGCUUUGGCGACUUACCUACGCCUCGUGAUUUUUCUGCCGCCGCUGCUAUUGGGAACCAGAAAAUUGUGUUGUGAGUAUUCAGAAAUUUUAGACGUUCAUCAGCUUGUUGCAUGCAUUGGCGUAACCUAUGAUCAUUGGCAGGUGUGGCGGCUGGGAUGGUAAAAAAUGGCUGUCAGAUGUGUAUGUUAUGGACACAAGUAUAUCUCGCCUCUACUUCAGUUUUGUAAUAAAACUGUUUUUAAGUUUAUGAUAAUGUCAGCUUUCUUGGUGUCUGUUAGUGUCUCUUGAAUGGAUGGAGCUGUCGGUUUCGGGGUCGUUGCCGCCUCCUAGAUGUGGCCAUACAGCCACCAUGGUUGAGAAACGUUUACUUGUUUUUGGUGGCCGAGGUAUAACACCAGAACCAGAAUCUUUGUUCUGCUUGAGCUGAUGACAACUAAACUGAGACUAUGGUUAUCUUUGACAGGAGGUGGUGGCCCUAUCAUGGGUGAUCUGUGGGCUUUGAAGGGUCUAAUAGAUGAAGGUUCAUCCUUACCUAAAUUACUUAAAAAUUGCAUUGAAUUAUGUAGAGGAGUAUUCUCUUGAGUUGUCUUUCUUUCUUUUGUUCUGUUUGCUGAUCUUAUUGUGGGGUUUACCUUUGCUGUGGAAGAAAGAACGUGAAACACCUGGAUGGACCCAACUAAAGCUUCCUGGCCAAGCACCAUCAGCUCGAUGUGGUCACACUGUCACAUCCGGAGGACAUUAUGUAUGUCUUUUUCAGCUUCCGUUUGCUCUUUUGUAUAAAUAGGUUCGCAUGACAUACAUCACUCACAUCAUUAAUGUUCAUGUAUGAAGCUUCUGUUAUUUGGGGGACAUGGAACUGGUGGAUGGCUGAGUCGUUAUGAUGUAUAUUAUAAUGACACUAUAAUUUUAGACAGAGGUAAAUUCUUGCUUAUGAGAUUCGUCUCCUCUGCUAAAGGAGCACUCUAAAUCCAAAAAUCCACCUCAGUAAUUUACAAUCUAGUGAGAUGAUAAAAUUGUGAUGUGCUUUAUCAUUUUUCUUGCUGAGCAUUGUUUUCUACGCGUUGUUGCUAAAUUUAUAUUUUCACAUACUAGUAACUGCACAGUGGAAGCGCUUACCAAUAAGCAAUGAUGAACCUCCUCCUCCUCGAGCUUAUCACACCAUGACAAGUAUUGGAGCUCGUCAUCUUUUAAUUGGUGGUUUUGAUGGAAAAUCAACCUUCGGUGAUCUUUGGUGGUUGGUUCCUGAAGGUAUCUUUCUCUUAUUUAUACUGAUGUUUUAGUCCAACUUAGCUAUCAUUCUGUGUACACGCAUCAUCAGUUACUUAUAGUUGGAAACUCUUUAGACGAACUAAUCUUGGUGUUGGUCGCAGAUUGUAGGCAAUUUUAGAGACACUUAAUUUCUAGCAUAAUCUUUUUUUUCUUCUUUAUCAAGUUUGUAUUGAAAGUUUUGAAGUUUUACUGAACUGUUUAGCCUUCUGAAAAUGUUGUUAUUCGUUUUUUUCUUUUUCUCUUUUCUCAGAUGAUCCGAUAGCCAAGAGGUCUUCUGUACCUCAACUUAGAAACCCUCCUGAGACUAAAGAGUCAGAGAGAGAUUUGGAUACGGUAACUGUGGUUCCUGCUCAUCAUCUUAUGUGUUUCUCGCCAAUGCAGUUAAAUUAGCUUUUCAACUUGUUUUAACACCAAGAGUUUGGUCACAGCAGGAAAGAGGACAAGAGGGAUUCACUAUCGUCGACUUGCAAAAGAAAAUGGGAAUCUCUGUUUCUUCAGGGUUACGCCUUCAAAUACCCGAGGAGUUAGAAGAUCAAGAGUUCGUUGAGUUAGGAACCAGAUUGAUUGAGGGAGAUGCAGUUGAUAAUGGAGCCUCCAUGAUUCAGGUGAGUUUUUCCUCUUGUCUAUUUUAGAAUGUGUGAUUGUGUUAUUCUUGUACUGAAAAUGCUUCUCAAUGAAAAGAUGGCAGCUGAAGCACUUCGUCAACAUUGGAAAGAGUCCACUCCAGAGACUUUGCAAUUAAAGGAGCUUGGUUCCUUGCUUCGAGAUUAUCAGCGACUGGUUACCCGAAAAUACACGUGAGUUCUUAUCCAUGCCUAACUAUUUCAGACUCAGUUCUUGUUUAUGUAGAUUAUCUUUUGUUUCACUAAAAAUGGUUGUUCUUUGAUUGCGCUUGGAAUCACCACAUGGCAUUAGAAUAACUUAGAUAAAUCUCCUGAGAGUUUAGGAGUCAUAUAGAGUUAAUAUGAAUAUAUCAUUUUUGUGUCUUGAAUAGCCCUCGAGACUCUUUAAUCCGAGCAUAUUGUCAAAACUGAUAAUGUUGUGAAUGCAUUGUUUUGUGCCCCUACUAUUACAUGUUAUGAAAUCUCACAUCUGCGUCUUCCUUUCCUUGACACAUGUUUCUUUUCAUUUGUUGUGGCGGGUUUCUAUCAGAGCACAGAGCAGCUUAACAUCUGCUGAUUUUGGAAAGAAGACCUUUACGUUUUAUCAUAUCAAAAAUUCUUCCGAGGUAUUACUCUGCAUACUUUCCUCCCUCGCCUGAAUAUUUGACACCAAUCAAUCAAAACAUCAGGCUUUCCUCCUGACAUGUCAAGUUUACAUUUUGCUAUUCUCAGUUGCGGAUGGAUGACAUUCCGGAGUUGCUGGAAGAAUACAAAACCCUUGUAAUCUGAUUGAGGAGCUCUGCCAUGAAACUCACAAGGAGAAUACAAAACUCAUCAAGUAGCUGCCAAGAAGAUCACUGAUAUUACGUGUAUACGCACACCAAGUAACCUAAUGUGCACACUACCACAAUCGAAUGGUAUGUCGAUGUAUCACUUUAGGAUCGAAUCCACAGAGACCAACUAUUACACUUUAUCUUUAUGGGAUCAAUAUCAAGCUAAAACAAUAUGGGGGUUUUAAAGUUGAUUUCGUAACAAGCAAGUAAAAAGAUUAAUUAAAGAUUUCAGAUGAUUAAAAUGCUAGCCUAGGGUGGUUUGGUCGGGUGUUAAGCAAGUGUGAGCCAAACAAUUAUUCAAGUUCAAUUAAGAGCAAGUCUAGAACUCGGAUCACUCAAAUAGAACAAUCCACUGUCGUGGUACUGCCCCCUAUGCUGAUCGAUCUUGAUACCUAAACUCUCGUUUGGAUCAAGAUGCGACAGCAAGCAAUAGAGAUCAAGUCCGAUAUGUUCACAAAACACCCUAAUAUCUACUUUCGCUGAUUAGGGAUGCAAUGCUCAUUCAAGUUAUGUCUAGCAACCUAUAACACUUUUGAUGAAUAGAUUAAACCUAGAAUCAGGCACUAAGUGGUUAACUUGAUGCAAGCCUUAAGAACAACAGUGAAUGAAGACAAUCGAUUUAUAACUUAUUUAUGUCAAGCUCACGGAUCUAACACCCUAACACCCUAGACUAAGCAAGUUGACUACUCAGCCAUGAACAGAGAAAACAUAGAGAUCAAUUCUGAAUAAGACUUCAUGUAAAUAAAAGAGAUAGAAAGAGGGUUCAGGAUAAUCUUCUCUAUGGUGAGAGAGAUGGAGCCUUCUCCCUUUACAAUCCAAAAGCACAAAAGUCUCCAAUGGUUUUCUUCUGUCUAGAAUAGCGUAGAAUGAUAAAGAGAAACAGAAAAUAUGAUAUAUCAAAGCCACAGGCGGCUGGGAGAGAAAAUAGGGAUAAUUAGGGCAAAUCCCGUAAUGAUUGUAGUUUCCUUAAAAAUCUCUGCCGCUGGAACACUCAUUCGGAACAAUCACUCGGGUUGCUCCGCUAUCCGGAACAGUCAUCAAGACUGUUCUGCGUGAAAACCACCAAAUUGCACUGUUUGCUGCCUCUUUUGUUCCAGCUGGUCCAUCUCCCAUCCAAUGCAACUCCAGACCUGUAAUGACUCGAAAAGGACUAGAAAGACUCGAUAAAGACUUGAAAACCAAUUGAAAAGCAUAUAUACAAGAUGUAUAAAACACCAUAUAUCAAUUCCCCCAGACUUAGAUCCUUGUUUGUCCUCAAACAAUGUCAAGUAUCAAGAACAGGGAGAAAGGUUUGAAAGUGUGGGAACUCUCAUAUUCUCAGCAACCAUACUUUAACCACGAAUCUCUGAACCAUACAAGCAGUAAAACUAGGACAACACACCCUUACCGGAACCCCACUGACUGCUGUUCAAAAAUCGGCUCCAUACUCUUCAUCUCAAACCUGAAAAAGCAACACUAUCGAGACAGAACUCCCUACAUUCAUUUAAGAGUAGCGUGAGCUUCUCAUCACAGGCAUCAUUCAGGGUAGACGGUCUAGGUGUGGAACAGGCUAUUUAAUGGUGGAGUUAAGAGUGUUUAGGGGCUACCAUUUCAUUGAAGAGGAUGCAUGAUAUCACACAAAAUGGCAAGAGAGGAUAGAUCCAUUGAUGUCCACAGCCUCUACUCGUUUUUGCUCUAUCUGGUGCGACUGUUCUGAUGACGGAACAGGCAACUGAUUGUUCUGCUUUCCACUUUCCUCUACACACUCUUCAAUACUUGGUACCAACUUCUUGCUCGACCUUUCCAGUGGCUCUAUGUUUCUUUUCUUUCUUUCCCUUCUCCAUCACAUUGUUCUCGUUUUUUUUUUUUUUUUUGAAUACUGAUAUGGUGAUGUGACGAAGAAGGAGGUAAUACAUGAUCGUUCUGAGUGCCACUGGUGGUUCUGAUUUCGCGACCAUUCUGGUUCUCCACCCCUGCUCUUGCGCAGUUCAUUGGUUAUGGAGCGGUUGCUCCCUUAAUCUGCUUGUUCUCCUUUCUGACAAAAUUUCUGCAGCAGUAACGAGUAGGAGGCUGCGUUGAUCCUUUCCUCUCCGACCUUUUUGCACAUAUCUGCACAUAUGACACUGAAAAACAAAUGCAUGAAGGUAGAAUAAAGGCUAAGGUGCAGGGUGGGAACUAGCUAAAGAUGAGCUAGCCACUCAGGAUCAGCAAGAUGGAUAAAAAGGAUAAGAAGUCCUGAGUGUGUUCUCGUUUUCCUGAUCUAAUGCCCAUAACAAGAAGAAUUUUAGUCAAGAUUAGGUUCAAGUAAGGUGGAGUUAUGUCUACCCAGUGUAACCUGAUCGGCUGAGAACUUCUGGAGAAUCAAGUGAGAUAUGUCAGGGUGUUCAAGGUUCACAUGUGUGUCUUUCGCCACUGCUAAGGUCACUAAAUAAGAUAACUAAAGCACGAGGUGGUCAGUGAUCAACACAGAAUAAGGUCUUAAUUCCCACAAAGUUUUGACUGACUUAAUCAUAAAAACUGACUCAAACUGACUUAAAAGAAAAACAAAAGAAAGAAACAAGUUAGUAAACGACGAAAACCCUCCCCCAGACUUACUUCACAACGUCCCUGGUGUGAAAAUAAAUCAGAGAGAAGGACAAAACAAGAAUAAAUAUUUUUUUGUUUGGGUCGAGAUACUUACCUGAGUGGAGCAGGCGCUCCAUGAAAAUUCUGGGUGUUCUAUCGUCAGAUGAUCGCCUGGAACAACCGCUCUUUUCAGGGGAUAGGUUGUUCCGUUUCUGCAACCCAGAAUUUUUGAAGUAUCUCGAAUUUUUUUUGCUUUUUGACCUGAAACUUAAUAAACUAAAACGAAAAUUGAGUAAACAAAAACAAAACCAAGUUAUAUUUACACUUACCAGUGGGUUGCCUCCCACCAGCGCUUGGUUUAAGUCUCUAGCUUGACUUGGUGACUGGGAUCAGUCGGGUUGAGCAGGAGGGCCUGUUCCAAAACAAGCUCCACAAUCAGACAUGUUCAGCUUCAAAACCCUGCUCAACAACCCUUUCACAGCAGCUUCCCCUUUCUCUUUCAGCUCAUGUGUGAGAAUAGCUCUGCUUUAGAGAACGGUUUAGAGGUACCCUUGCACUUUACCUCAUACUCAAUGGAGUUCUCAUCACACUUGAGAGGUAUCAAAGUCACUGUAGGAUCUCCUUGACCCUUUUCUUCUGGACUUUCUGUUUCACCCUUGAAUUCCCUCUGAAUUUAGUAGGAUCAGUGCUAGGAUCUUCAUCAAAGAACAGUCUGCUCUCACCCUUAUCACCAUGCUCCUUCUCUGGAACAACCUUCAGCUUUUCUACAUCAAACACUGAGAUGCGAGAGGCGUGUGAUGAGGAAGAUCUGGUGGGUACAGCCUUGUAGAAUACUUUCUUGUUGAUGUUGGAGAAGCAGACUCUCUUGUUGGGCAUAUCGAUGGUUGCUCCAACAGUAGCCAUGAAUGUCCUUCCAAAUAUCAAAGGCAUCUCAUGAUCUUUGUUCAUCUCAACAACCUGAAACUCAGCAGGAACAAUGCAUUCCCCUACUUGAACAUGAAGGCUGCGGAUGGUUCCAUAUGGGACUGCUCUGGAAGAGUUUGCAAAGGUCAGGGUCAACUGAGAACGCUCAACAUCAGCAAUACCCAAAUCGUCUACAAUAGCCUUUGAGAUGAGAUUCACACAAGAACCAGAGUCACAAAGAGCGUCCUUGAAGGUUGUUCCUGCGAUGGAACAUGGGAAAACAAACUUUCCAGGAUCAUGAACCUUAGGCAAUACCUUCAGUGCUGGCGUAGACAGUGCUCUGGUAUAGAGGACCUUGAUCUCCUCUUGAGUCUCUCUACAGUGUUUAAAGAACUGGAGCAAUGGACGAAUCUGCAGAGCAUCUUCGAAUGCAAGUUCUUUAGGAAGCCUUCUCACCAUCUUGUUAAAACCUAUCAGCUGCUCUUCACUAAUGGGAUCCAUCAGAUGUCUAGGUGGAAUUGGAUAGGGAACCUUGGGAACAUAGACUCGCACUGGUGGAGUUUCAGCAGGUUCGCUAGGAGCAAUCACUCCAGAGCUAGCAGACUGCUCUGUGUUCUCUUCUGCGCCUAGAACAGUCUCAGCGAACGGCUGCUCUAUUGCAUUACAGUGCUCAGUCCUAGGAUUUUUAUCAGUUCUUCCAGGGAGCGUCUCUUGUUGCCUCUUGACACUCUCAACUGUUUGAGCAAGCUGAACAUCGAUCUUUCUUAUAUGGAUUGCAAGAUUGUCAUACUUGUUAUUCAGUUCAGUGAACAUGUUGCCCAUCCUGGUGUCUAUUUCCGUGGUUACCUGAUUCAACACCUUGGCCUGAACCUGCUGACCCUGCAACAGUUGUUGCAUCAUCAUACCCAGACCCUUCAGCUCAUCUGGUUGACUGUUCUCGGUAGCUGGAACAACAUGCGGAUUGCUCUGCGGUUGUCGUUGGUUCAGGUUCUGAAUAUGCCCGGCCGUAGGUUGCUCCAUGCUGAAAACGUGUCCUUGGUUGUUUUUCAGUAACUGAUCAACCUUGGCAGUCAGCUCAUCUAUUUUCUGGGCGUCAGAACUGUUCCCUUUCAUGGAGCGAUCACUCUCCUCUUUCUUAUUAGCUGAGCUAGCAGCCAUGUUCUCAAUCAGCUUAAACGCUCCAGCAGUGGUUUGAGUCAUGAAGUCUCCAUUGCUCGCAGAGUUUAGAGCACCUUGGUAUUUCCAGUCCACUCCAUCAUAGAAAAUAUCCAGGAUAUAAUCAUCAUCAAAUCCAUGGUGAGGACAUUCUCUGCGAUAGUCAUUGAAGCGCUCCCAUGCGUCGCAGAAAAGCUCAUCAGUGAGCUGUCUGAAGGAGGUGAUCUUGUUCCUCAAUGCAGCUGUUCUCGCCUUAGAGUAGAAAUGGCUGAGGAACGCUGAUCGGACCUGUUCCCAUGAAGUGAGAGAGCCGGUAGGGAGAGAGUUCAACCACCGUGCAGCUUUUCCAUCAAGAGAGAAUGGGAAUAACAUGCACGUGAUGUAGUCUGGUGGAACACCAUUCACGCGAGUGAAACUGCAGACUUUUUCGAAGCUCUCAAUAUGCUCCAUUGGAAUUUCUGUAGAGAGACCAGAGAACACCUUUCUCUGUACUAGACCGAUCAAAGCAGGCUUGAUCUCAAAGUCCUGCCUAGUACAAGGUGGAGGAACAAUGGCAGAGCGCGUAGUAGGGAUGUUACGCGGGAGGUUUCUCUGCCCGAUUGGAACAGUCUGCGCCUGUUGUUCCUGCUGCGCGAGAGCAGCCUGUUCAGCAGCAUCCUGCUGAGCUUGGAUGGUCUGCUGCAUUUGUUGCAUCUGCUGCUGCAUGAGUGCCAUAGCCGCAGCGAGAUCAUCUUGAUUGGCGUGAUCACCCAUAGUGGUGUCGGUUUGCCUUGGCUGUUGACGAUUUGUUCUUUCUAACCUUGCUAGCUCCUGGUUGGUAAAUGUAACUAACUCUCCUUGUGCGUUUCUUCGAGUAUGUCUACUGGUCAUGCACCUGGAACAUUAGCUGCAACAAAAAGGAUAAGGCAAGUUAGAGGUCUUAGACUAAAUAAAUAACCGAAAAAUAAAGGUAAAAAGAUGGUCCCCGGCAACGGCGCCAAAUUGAUAUUACGUGUAUACGCACACCAAGUAACCUAAUGUGCACACUACCACAAUCGAAUGGUAUGUCGAUGUAUCACUUUAGGAUCGAAUCCACAGAGACCAACUAUUACACUUUAUCUUUAUGGGAUCAAUAUCAAGCUAAAACAAUAUGGGGGUUUUAAAGUUGAUUUCGUAACAAGCAAGUAAAAAGAUUAAUUAAAGAUUUCAGAUGAUUAAAAUGCUAGCCUAGGGUGGUUUGGUCGGGUGUUAAGCAAGUGUGAGCCAAACAAUUAUUCAAGUUCAAUUAAGAGCAAGUCUAGAACUCGGAUCACUCAAAUAGAACAAUCCACUGUCGUGGUACUGCCCCCUAUGCUAAUCGAUCUUGAUACCUAAACUCUCGUUUGGAUCAAGAUGCGACAGCAAGCAAUAGAGAUCAAGUCCGAUAUGUUCACAAAACACCCUAAUAUCUACUUUCGCUGAUUAGGGAUGCAAUGCUCAUUCAAGUUAUGUCUAGCAACCUAUAACACUUUUGAUGAAUAGAUUAAACCUAGAAUCAGGCACUAAGUGGUUAACUUGAUGCAAGCCUUAAGAACAACAGUGAAUGAAGACAAUCGAUUUAUAACUUAUUUAUGUCAAGCUCACGGAUCUAACACCCUAACACCCUAGACUAAGCAAGUUGACUACUCAGCCAUGAACAGAGAAAACACAAAGAUCAAUUCUGAAUAAGACUUCAUGUAAAUAAAAGAGAUAGAAAGAGGGUUCAGGAUAAUCUUCUCUAUGGUGAGAGAGAUGGAGCCUUCUCCCUUUACAAUCCAAAAGCACAAAAGUCUCCAAUGGUUUUCUUCUGUCUAGAAUAGCGUAGAAUGAUAAAGAGAAACAGAAAAUAUGAUAUAUCAAAGCCACAGGCGGCUGGGAGAGAAAAUAGGGAUAAUUAGGGCAAAUCCCGUAAUGAUUGUAGUUUCCUUAAAAAUCUCUGCCGCUGGAACACUCAUUCGGAACAAUCACUCGGGUUGCUCCGCUAUCCGGAACAGUCAUCAAGACUGUUCUGCGUGAAAACCACCAAAUUGCACUGUUUGCUGCCUCUUUUGUUCCAGCUGGUCCAUCUCCCAUCCAAUGCAACUCCAGACCUGUAAUGACUCGAAAAGGACUAGAAAGACUCGAUAAAGACUUGAAAACCAAUUGAAAAGCACAUAUACAAGAUGUAUAAAACACCAUAUAUCAAUCACCAAGAUUGCUAUCAGCAUUACCAUUGCAAACCACAAAGCUAAAAAGUCUCAAGAGAAUCACAUCUCUGAUAGACAACUAUGUGCAACUUCUUUUUAGCAAGAACAAAAAGAUACAACGUAUAUGUAAGACUUCCAUUAUCUCAACUUAAAUCCAUAUCUAAGCCUCUGCUCUUUUAUUUCUUGUUUGGGCUUUGAAAAUAGAUUGCUUUGCCUUGAAGCCAAUGCGAAAGUAAGGAAAAAAGUAGGCAAACUUCAUCUAUUAGACUUUGAAAUGGAUUACAACAACAACGGUACUCUUGAUAACUUAAACCACAGAGUUUCUGUCUGCAUAGACCCGUAUUGUCUUUUCUCUAUCCCCUAAAACAACUCGAACUCAAGAUGAUCUCCCAUGGCUUUACAUUCAAGAUAUCCAUUACCAUUUCCUUUAGGAGAAGUUGCUUCCGUUGCACCAUUCUCAUAUACAUCAGGCAGAUCAGGCGGAAUGGCGCAGCGGAUGAGAGCCCAGUUCAAUCCUUCAAAGAAUGGAUGCCUCUUGAUCUCUGCAGCUCCUUUCUCCCACCCGAGGCGGCUCCCCGGAUCCUUCAUCACCAACCUUCUGAUCAAAUUCUUUGCCUGGAAGCUCACAAGAGGGCUAUCAGGAAACUUGAGGUUCUGAAACACAAACGUCUCCUCAUUGUCAUAACCUUUGAACGGUGUCUUCCCGUAUAAAAGCUCAUAGAGAAGAACCCCAAACGUCCACCAGUCUACUGCAGCACCGUGACCUUCUCCUUAAUGAUCUCCGGCGCCAAGUACUCGUGCGUUCCUACAAAAGAGUUUGAUCUUGCUUCAGUUGGUUCAGCCACAAGCUGAGGCAAUGAUCUGAACUGUUGGGUCAGAAGAUCAGGCCUUCUCUGUUUUCUUGGUUUUGAGUUUCUAGCUUGCGUUGACAAGAGCCUAGGGCUGAAACAUGGGACACGGCACGAUGGACUCUAUCUAAAUCACAGGUUCUUCAUCUUCUUUGGAAGCUGAGGAGCUUGAUACAAUAAUUGAAGACGAAGACAAACAGCAGUAUCCAGGCGAUGUGCACCGCAGCUACAGCUGGUAAGAAGUCAUGUUCGAACCCGGAUCCAUCUUUGAGCAACUGUUUUAGUUCCGUGUCUAGGAGACCAGUGUUCUGCACUAUCGAAUCUUGGUCUCCUACUUGAGAUGUGAUGCUUCCAUACAAUGUCCAGCCACUGGCGUUGCCUAGUAAUUAAUAUCAUCUCCACCAUAUCAAUAUUUGCUGCAUCCCCUCCUCCAUAAGAAACAUAAAACAUAAAAGUUAGGUAGCUCUAAAACACUUCUGAUCAUAACAAAAAGUAAGAUCUAUAACACACUUGAUGAUUACGUAAGUUGGUUCGUAAUUUUUACCAAUCUUUGGGAUGAGGAACUGGAGAAAAGAUUCCAAAUAGACCGAGGAAGAAAGACAUGCAGAUUCCGGAGAUUUGAUAGUUUGGUGUCAAGGCCACAAAGCAUCAAGCUUGGUAACAUGUCGUAGUAGUAGAAGUAGAACCAGAAGAACUUGACCACAGUACGGUCGUAUCCUAUCAUUGAGUAAAGGAUUAUAGUAUGUAAACUCUAGUUUGUAUGGUGUCAUACUACAUGAUCUAACAACUUUGUCUAUAUUAUCAAUUUUCCUAAUUAAUUAUUUCUAACAAAAAUAUAAUUUUUAAAUAUUAACGAAUAUAUUUUGGAAGUUGAAAAUAAGGUAGAAAUUUUGUACAAAAGGGAAGGAAGGAUAUGGGGGAAUUAUUUGCCUGCGAAAAGUCAUUAUCCCUUACAGACUAGAAAAGUCGCAUAUUUUCUUUUUAUUCAAAAUCAGAACCACAGAUGGCAGCCAAUAUAGACUGUUGAUAAGAUUGACUUGGAGUCAACUCUUUCAUUGCCAUUCAUAUCUCUUCUUCCAAAGAACGUCUCUAAGCAAGUUGAAGAGCUGUUACAUGAAAGGUAAAUCAUGUUCUUGUAUCAUUAUUUGUCUGUUUAACUUGCUUUGAUCUGUCUUUUGGACUCUGUUGUGGUUGAAUCUGAAUUUAAAAACGAAAAUUCGUUGGAUUAUUACAAAUCUUGUUUUACGAAUUUAAACCAUUUAAUCAUCAAAUCUUGUUAUAAAUUGUUUGAAUAAAAGUAAGUUAAGUAAAGUUCCUCUGACAUGUAUCAUGUUUUAUUAGAUCAACCAAGGAUUAUCAUAAACGGUUUUAAAUCGUACUACAAGUUUGUACUUAUGUGUUGUGUUGAUGGUGGAACAGGAGAAUAGUGAUGGCUGAGGGAGUUGUGUCGUUUGGAGUGGAGAAACUCUGGGAUCUCCUCAGUCGAGAAUCAGAGAGACUGCAGGGAGUUCAUGAGAAAGUUGAUGAUCUAAAAUGUCAGAUGAGAAUGUUACAGUCGUUGUUGAAAGAUGCAGAUGCCAAGAAAUAUGAGAGUGUGGUGAGAAACUUCUUGGAAGAUGUCAAAGACACUGUUUUUGAUGCUGAAGACAUAAUUGAAUCCUUUCUUUUGAAAGAAUUGAGUAGAAACCAAAAAGGGAUCAAGGGGCGUGUGAAAAGACUUGCUUGUUUCUUAGUGGAUCGCCGAGGUCUUUCUAUGGACAUUGAAGGCAUAACUAAGAGAAUGGCCAAGGUUGUUGGGCAAAUGCAAAGCUUUGGAAUACAACAGAUCAUCUACAGAUCACCGUCUCUACAAGAGAGACAGAGGGAGAUCCAACAAACAUAUCCUAUGGGAUCUCAAAAGGAUCUUGUGGGGGUGGAACAGAGUGUUAAAGAAUUGGUUGGUCAUUUGGUGGAGAAUGAUAACAUCCAAGUAGUUUCCAUAUCUGGGAUGGGUGGUAUUGGAAAAACCACUCUUGCCAGACAAGUCUUACAUCAUGACAUUGUUCAAAGUCAUUUUGAUGGAUUCGCAUGGAUCUGCGUUUCGCAAGAUUGUAAGCGGAUGGAUAUUUGGCAAAAGUUAUUGCAAGACCUUAGACCUCAAGAUAAGGGCAUCGAACAAAUGAAUGAGCCUACACUCCAGGCUAAGAUCUUUCACUUGUUGGAAACAUCUAAAUAUUUAAUUGUCAUGGAUGAUGUAUGGAAAAAAGAAGACUGGGAUAUAAUAAAAGGCGUUUUCCCCCAAGAAAGAGGUGAGCUCUCUAAUUGUACAUACAUUACUUACGAACUCUCCAUAGCUAUUUCAUAAAUGCCUUUUCAGUCUCUGAGAUGAAAGGAAAUACAAUUGCAGGUUGGAAAAUGAUUCUUACUUCACGUGAUGAAAGUGUUGGUUUCCAUGCAGACCGAACAUGUUUUCCCUUUAGACCAAAAACUCUUACUCCUGAAGAAAGUUGGAAGCUAUGUGAAAGCAUAGCAUUCCCUAGACGAGAUAUAACCGGUACGUUUUUAUAUAAGAAUCAUAUGAAUCCUUAAGGCCAGAAAGCUUGAUAUCUCUUACGGACCUUCUAAUCAAAAUUCUUGUGUUGUAAUUCCUAAAUCAUCCUCUGGGAUUACAUAUAUGGUUCCAAUGUUUAAAAAAUCGAUUUAUUCUAACAUUAUCUCUUAAUUUAAUUUAUUUAGAUUAAUUUAUAAUGAUUUAAACCGAUUUGAAUUGUAUAAAUUGGUAUAAAUCAGAUUUUAAGAAAAUCGUUUCGAUGGGACAAAGUUAGCCUAUGUGCCGCCUAGACCAAUUUUUAGAACAUUGUAUGGUUGUAUAUACCUUUGAGAAACAUUAUAGCAUUUCAUUUAUGUCAUAUGUCAUCAGCAAUGUUUUAAAAACCGGAUCAGACAUUGAUUCGGCAUUGUAGCUGCGUAAAUGGUCAGAUCGGUGCAAUUAGUUCAACUGACUUCUAAAUUUAAUUUAAUUUUAAAUUCAGUAACUACAUCUAUGUAUAAUAAAAUUGUUCUUAUAAAACUUUAUUUCAUUGUUAAUAUCUAAAAGAUCUUAUGAAAAUAAAAUGACAACUUCAAAAAUAAUAUAAACUAUAAUGAAACUAAUUGAUUUAGAUAGAUAUUAAAAACAAUAUGAAAUCUUUUUAAAAUUUGCAAAUUUUUAUUUUUAAACUUGAAUUUGAGAAAACUUGAUUUUAAUAUCGAACCAGAUUACCGGUUUUAGCAAAUUUGAACAGUUUAUGACAUGGUUUACCGGUUUAAUUCAAAUUCAGUUUUAAUACAACUCAAAACCGGCUAGAAUAACGAGUCAAGGUCCAACCGGGCAAUCCGGUUUUCAAAACACUAGUCAUCACCAUAAUGAUUCUUUUUUUUUAGAGAAAUAUGUUAGCCAUCUAAACAUAUAAUAUAAUACUCAUUAAACUAAAUAUUAAAUUAAUUAUUAAUGUACAAAACAUAUUAUUCCUUCUUUGCUUAAGUAUAAGCUACAAAAUUACAUAAUGUGAUAAAUAUAUAUAAGGAGUUUUCUUGCGCCAUGCGCAAAUAUACUAAUUUUUAGCUAAAUUUUUAUUUAUUUUAUUUUAAAUAAAAAUAAAUUUACGUUUUCAUACUAUUAUUUUUAUAUUUUAAAUUCAUCGGUCUGGAAAAGAGUGAAAUCACAACUAUUUUUUUGUAAUUUUGUUUCAUUUGAUUUGUUUUAUUUAUUUUAAUUUUAUUUUAUAUGAAUUUUAUUGGAGAAGAAUUAUAUUUUAUAUAACUUUGAAUUUUAUUUAUUUAUAUUUAGUGAUUAUUUAUUUUGAAUAUGUUUCUUAUCCUCUAAGUGUAUAAAUUUUAAUAAUGAUUGGGUUUCUGUUUAAAUGUAUAGCUAAUAUGUUAAACUCGUAAACUCAAUUUCUUAAUUAAUCAAAUAAACUAAUGGAUGCUAAUAAAAUUUUAAACAUUUAAUCAUCCAAAAAAAUUGAUUAGCAUUGCUUUAGUUUUGUGUUCCCUAAUGCACACUUACACUUUAUUUUAAUAAAAUAUAAAAUAUAUAUAGAAAAUAUGAUAAAUAAGUUAAUUUAAAAUUAAAAUAUAAUUAUAUUUAGUUUAUUUUUAUAAAUAUGAUAUAUAUAAUUUUAUUUUAUUUCAAUGGUGAUAUAUGAAUUAUUAGUUAUUAAUAUAUUUUAAAAGUCUUGCCAAAAUAAACAUUUACACAGAAAUGCUAACUUCUAAAUAGUGAUAUAAACAUUAUUAGUCAUUACCAUUUUUAUAAAUUCUUACUAGAAAUAUAUAAAUUUGUAAAAGUUAUUAUUAUUACCAUAUUUAAAAGUCUUUAACAAAAAUAUAAAUUUUUAUAAGAAAAUUUUCAUGUCAAAUUAACUUGAUCUCAUGUCAUUAUUUUCUAAAAACAUGUCAUUUUUUUGGGUGAGAAUGAACACUGUGAUGACAUGUGUACAAAACCACUUUGCAAUUAAUAUUUAGGAGAUACUACAAUCAAUGACUUUGAAUAAUAAUGAUUUGAUAACAAUUUGUGUAUCAUCUAUCAUCUUUAUUUAAUUUUAUAUUAUUAAAAUAAAUUAAUUAAUCAUAUUAAUCAUCUAAUAAAAAUAGAUUUUCCUUAUAUUUUGAAUUUUAAAGAUGACUAUAAAUUACUAAAAUUGUUAAAAUUAAUGGUUUAAUUUUAUUAUUAUAAUAAGAUACAAAUGAUCAUAAGAACUUAUGAAUAUGAAAUUUCAUUUAAUAGAACUGUAGAUUAAAAAAAAAAUAUAUAUAUAUAUAUAUAUCUAUUUCAAUAUCGUUUAAAUUUAGCUGUAUAUAUAUAUAUAUUUUUUUUUCUGAACAUUUGAAAAGACUAGAGACAUUAUUUCAAGGCUCUAAUGUUAUAAUAUGUGUUACUGUUUUCAGAAUUUAUUGUUGAUGAAGAACUAGAAGCCAUGGGUAAGAAAAUGGUCACACAUUGUGGAGGACUACCAUUAGCCGUUAAAGUGUUGGGAGGCUUGUUAGCUAAUAAAAGCAUGGUUGAAGAGUGGAAAAGAGUAGAUGACAAUAUUCAAAGUCAGAUAGUUCGCAUAGAUGACAACAGUCAAGAUUCGGUUUACCGAGUAUUGUCUAUGAGCUAUGAAGACUUGCCAAUGCAGUUAAAGCAUUGCUUCCUCUACCUAGCUCAUUUUCCUGAAGAUGACAAGAUACAAAUGGACAUAUUAUAUUAUCUAUGGGCAGCAGAAGGCAUAAUAAAGUCAAGUGGCGAUGGAGAAACCACUUGGGAAAUUGGAGAAGACUACAUAGACGAGCUAGUACGGAGAAAUAUGAUUAUUGGAGUAAAAGAGGAAUUGAGUUGCAGAUGGGCGUAUUGUCAAAUGCAUGACACGAUGAGAGAAGUAUGUUUAUAUAAAGCCAAAGAAGAGAACUUUCUUCAGAUUAUCAAAGUCCCUACUUCUUCUAUGUCUACCAUCAAUGCUCUUACUCCUACCAGAUCUCGCAGACUCGUAGUACACGGUGGUGGUAAUUCACUUGAUAUGCUGGGAGGUAAAAACAAUCAAAAAGCUAGAUCUGUUUUGGGUUUUGGACUCGACAGCAAAUCGUCGAAGCAGUCAGGUCAAGGACUCAGAAAUUUACAAUUACUUAGGGUCUUGGAUUUGAGUUUAGAUUAUAAAAGCGGCGACUCUAGAGGGUGGAGAAUACCAUCCAGCUUUGGAAAGCUCAUUCAUUUGAGAUAUUUGAGCUUACACAUGCGUUGGGCAACUGAUGUACCUUCUUCUUUACGGAAAUGAAAUACUUCAUCUGCCAAGUAUCUUUAAAGAGAUGGUAGAGUUGAGGUUCCUGCAGCUUUAAAGAGAUGGUAGAGUUGAGGUUCCUGCAGCUUCCCCUUCUUCUUGACGCUAAAACAAAGUUGGAAUUGGGCAAUCUAGUGAACCUGGAGUGCUUGGGCUGGUUCCAAUCAGAAAACGGUAGCAUCACAGACUUCCUCCGAAUGAAAAAGCUCAGGACUCUCCACAUAAAACUCAAAGGCAGGUAUACUUCUGAAACUCUAGCGUCAUCUCUCUGUGAAUUAAGAAACCUGGAGGAGCUUAGAUUGAUCGAUGAGAACAACGAAUCCGAUGGGGCUUAUGAUUUGGAUUUCGUUUGGAAUUUCAUUCAUCUAAGGGAAUUAUGGAUGGGUAUACAUAUGACAAGGCUCCCUGAUCACUCUCGAUUGCCUCCCAACCUUGCACACAUAUGUCUAAUUAAAUGUGAAUUGGAGGAUGAUCCACUGCAGAUUCUGGAAAAGUUGCUUCAUUUGAAGUCGGCUGUAUUACAUUACAGAUCUUUCGUGGGGAGGAAGAUGGUGUGUUCAAAAGGUGGAUUCCCUCAAUUAUGUAAGCUAGACAUAAUGUUCCUACACGACUUGGAAGAGUGGAUAGUCGAAGAAGGGUCGAUGCCAUGUCUUCGUACCUUGUCUAUUCAAAGUUGCUACCGGAAGGGCUCAAGUAUAUCACUUCUUUAAAGAAACUGGAAAUCAUACAUAAGAACAAGGAGUGGAAGACGACACUCGUACCAGGUGGGGAAAGUUACCACAAAGUCCAACACAUUCCUAGUGUUCAAUUAAACUAUUUUGGCCACGAAUAAGGAGAAUAAAACUGUCUCAGGUAUAUAUUCUUUUUUGGUAUAAUGUCAAUAUUGUUCAUUUUGUUGGUUAUAUAUCCUCCUUGAAGUUUAGUGUGAAAGUCUAAACUCUCUGUUAUUCGGUUUUCAGGUGAACCUACUCAGGAUCAGUACCCACCACUAUCGAUUGUGUGAUAUGAUAAUAAGUCGUUUUUGUUGUAUGAAGUUUACAUAUCUUGUUUGUGAUAUAUUCCGUAUAUCUAUUUGCAUGCUCAUUCACUCGUCUCAUAAGAUUCUUCUCCUCUGCUAAAGGAUCACUCUAAAUCCAAAAAUCCACUUCAUUAAUUUACAAUAGUACAAUACUAGUGAGAUGAUAAAAUUGUGAUGUAAAUUAUCCUUUUUCUUGCUGAGCAUUGUCUUCUAUGCGUUGUUGCUAAAUUUUUAUUUUUCACAUACUAGUAACUGCGCAGUGGAAGCGCUUACCGAUAAGCAAUGAUGAGCCUCCUCCUCCUCGAGCUUACCAUACAAUGACUAGUAUUGGAGCUCGUCAUCUUUUAAUUGGUGGUUUUGAUGGAAAGUCAACCUUCGGUGAUCUUUGGUGGCUGGUUCCUGAAGGUAUUAAACUCUUAUUUGUACUAAUGUUUUACUCCAACUUAGCUAUCAUUCUGUGUACAUGCAUCAUCAGUUACAAUCUCGGUGCUGGUCACAGAUUAUAGGCAAUUAGAGACACUUAAUUUCUAGCAUACUCUUUUUUUUCUUCUUUAUCAAGUUUGUAUUGAAAGUUUUGAAGUUUUACACAUCUGAUUGAAUUUACUGAACUGUUUUAGCCUUCUGAAAAUGUUGUUAUUCGUUGUGAAAGAAAGAAAUGGAUUAAAGAAAGAAAUGUUGUUAGCGAUCUAACUCUUUUUCUCUUUUCUCAGAUGAUUCCAUAGCCAAGAGGUCUUCUGUACCUCAAAUUAGAAACCCUCCUGAGACUAAAGAGUCAGAGAGAGAUUUGGAUACGGUAACUGUGGUUCCUGCUCAUCAUCUUAUGUGUUUCUCGCCAAUGCAGUUAAAUUAGCUUUUCAACGUGUUUUAACACCAAGAGUUUGGUCACAGCAGGAAAGAGGACAAGAGGGAUUCACUAUCGUCGACUUGCAAAAGAAAAUGGGAAUCUCUGUUGCAUCAGGGUUACUACGCCGUCAUAUCCCCGAGGAGUCAGAAGAUCAAGAGUUCGUUGAGUUAGGAACCAGAUUGAUCGAGGGAGAUGCAGUUGAUAAUCGAGCCUCCAUGAUUCAGGUGAGUUUUUCCUCUUGUCUAUUUUAGAAUGUGUGAUUGUGUUAUUCUUGUACUGAAAAUGCGUCCCAAUGAAAGGAUGGCAGCUGAAGCACUUCGUCAACAUUGGAAAGAGUCCACUCCAGAGACUUUGCAGUUAAAAGAGCUUAAUGCCUUGCUUCGAGAUUAUCAGCGACUUGUUACCCGAAAAUACACGUGAGUUCUUACUCAUUCCAACUAUUUCAGACUCAGUUCUUGUUUAUGUAGAUUAUCUUUUAUUUCACUAAAAAUAGUUGUUCUUUGAUUGCGCUUGGAAUGGCAUUAGAAUAACUUAGAUAAAUCUCCUGAGAGUUUAGGAGUGUUAUAUAGAGUUAAUAUGAAUAUCAUUUUUUGUGUCUUGAAUAGCCCUUGAAACUUUUUAAUCCAAGAAUUGCCAAAACUGAUUCAUUUCUUAAUGUUGUGAAGUCCUCACAUAAAAGUUGAUUGUAAAUGCAUCGCUUUGUACCCCUCUGAAAAGUAUUAAAUGUCAUGAAAUCUCACAUCUGCUUCUCCCUUUCCUUCACACGUUUGUUUUCAUUUGUUGUGGCGGGUUUCCAUCAGAGCACAGAGCAGCUUAACACCUGCAGAUUUUGGAAAGAAGACCUUUACGUUUUAUCAUAUCAAAACUUCUUCCGAGGUACUUCUGCAUACUUUCUUCCUGUUAUUAGCUUUAUUGAACAUUUGACACCAAUCAAUCAUACAUCAGGCUUUCCUCUGACAUGUCAAGUUUUCAUUUUGCUAUUCUCAGUUACGGAUGGAUGACAUCCCCAAGUUGCUGGAAGAAUACAAAACCCUUCUAAUCUGAUUGAGGAGCUCUACCAUAAAACUCACAAGGAGAUAUACUAAAACCCUUCUAAACUCAUCAAGUAGCUGCCAAGAAGAUCACCAAGAUUGCUAUCAGCAUUACCAUUCGCAAACAACAAAGCUAAAAAUUCUCAAAAGAAUCAUCUCUGAUAGACAACAAGACAUGUACAACUUCUUCUUAGUCAAGGACAAAAACAUAUACCCAUAUGUAAGAUUUUCAUUAUUUCUACUUAAAUCCAUAUCUCAGCGUCUGCUCUUUGCUUUAAAGCCAAUGGGAAAGUAAGGAAAAAAGUAGGCAAACUUCACCUCUUAUACUUAGAAAUGGAUUACUACAACAACAACGGUACUCUUGAUAACUUAAACCAUAGAGUUUCUGUCUGCUUAGACCCGUAUUGUCUUUUUUCUCUAUCCCCUAAAACAACUCAAACUCAAGAUGAUCUCCCAUGGCUUUACAUUCAAGAUACCCAUUACUAUUCCCUUUAGGAGAGGUUGCUUCAGUUGCACCAUUGUCAUAUACAUCAGGCAGCUCAGGGGGAAUGGCGCAGCGGAUGAGAGCCCAGUUCAAUCCUUCAAAGAAAGGAUGCCUCUUGAUCUCAGCAGCUCCUUUCUCCCACCCGAGACGGCUCUCCGGAUCCUUCAUCACCAACCUCCUGAUCAAAUCCUUUGCCUGGAAGCUCACAAGAGGGCUAUCAGGAAACUUAAGGUUCUGAAACACAACGUUGGACAAUGUCUCCUCAUUGUCAUAACCUUUAAACGGUGUCUUCCCGUAUAAAAGCUCAUAGAGAAGGACCCCAAAAGUCCACCAGUCUACCGCAGCACCAUGCCCUUCUCCUUUUAUUAUCUCCGGCGCCAAGUACUCGUGCGUUCCUACAAAAGAGUUUGAUCCUGCUUCGGUUGGUUUAGCCACAAGCUGAGGCAAUGAUCUGAACUGUUGGGUCAGAAGAUCAGGCCUUCUCUGUUUUCUUGGUUUCGAGUUUCUAGCGCAUUGAUGGGAGCCUAGGGCUGAAACAUGGGAAGCAGGUUCUUCACAGGUUCUUCACCUUCUUUGGAAGUUGAGGAGCUUGAUACAAUAAGCGAAGACGAAGACAAACAGCAGUAUCCACGCGCAGCUACAGCUGGUAAGAAGUCAUGUUCGAACCCGGAUCCAUCUUUGAGCAACUUUUUUAGACCCGUGUCUAGGAGACCAGUGUUCUGCACUAUCGAAUCUUGGUCUCCUACUUGAGAUUUGAUGCUUCCAAACAAUGUCCAGCCCACUGGUCGUUGCCUAGUAAUAUCAUCUCCACCAUAUCACCAACAAUAAACAUUUUCGAAACUACCCUCCCUCUCCCCUCUCCCAAUAAAAAAAACACAAAACUUAAAAAUUAGGUAGCUCUAAAACCCUUCUGAUCAUAACAAAAAGUAAGAUCUAAACACACUUGAUGAUUACGUAAGUUGGUUCGUAAUUUUUUACCAAUCUUUGGUAUAAGGAACUGGAGAAAAGAUUCCAAAUAGACUGAGGAAGAAAGACAUGCAGAUUCCGGAGAUUUGAUAGUUUGGUGUCAAGGCCACAAAGCAUCAAGCUUUGUUAACAUGUAGUAGUAGUAGUACCAGAAGAACUUGACCACAGUACGGCCGUAUCCUAUCAUUGAGUAAAGGAUUAUAGUAUGUAAACUCUAGUUUGUAUGGUGUCAUACUAAUAACUUUGUCUAUAUUACCAAUUUUCCCAAUUUCUUAUUUCUAACAAACUAUAAUGUAUAAAUAUCAAUGAAUAUAUUUUGCAAGUUGAAAAUAAGGGAGAAAUUUUUUUUACCAAAAAGAAUAAUAAGGGAGAACUACAGUGAAUGUUUCGAGUGGGCCUAAAGCAAAUGCAUUAUUGCCUUGCGAAAAAAUCAUUAUCGCCACAGACUAGAAAAAACUCCUAUUUUCUUUUUAUUCAAAAUUAGAACCACAAGAUGGCAGUCGUAGACUGAUAAGAUUGACUUGGAGUCUACUCUUUCAUUGCCACUCAUAUCUUUUCUUCCAAAGAACGUCUCUAAGCAAGUUGAAGAGCUGUUACAUGAAAGGUAAAUCAUGUUCUUGUAUCAUUAUUUGUAUGUUUAACUUGCUUUGAUCUGUCUUUUGGACUCUGUUGUGGUUGAAUCUGAAUUUAAAAACGAAAAUUCGUUAGAUUAUUACAAAUCUUGUUUUACGAAUUUAAAGCAUUUAAUCAUCAAAUCUUGUUAUAAAUUGUUUGAAUAAAAGUAAAGUUCCUCUAACAGGUAUCAUGUUUUAUUAGAUCAACCAAGGAUUAUCAUAACGGUUUUAAAUCUUACUACAAGUUUGUACUUAUGUGUUGAUGAUGGUGGAACAGGAGAAUAGUGAUGGCUGAGGGCGUUGUGUCGUUUGGAGUGGAGAAACUCUGGGAUCUCCUGAGUCGAGAAUCUGAGCGAUUGCAGGGAGUUCAUGAGAAAGUUGAUGAUCUAAAAUGUCAGAUGAGAAUGUUACAGUCGUUGUUGAAAGAUGCAGAUGCGAGGAAACAUGAGAAUGAAGUAGUGAGAAACUUCUUGGAAGAUGUCAAAGACAUUGUUUUUGAUGCUGAAGACAUAAUCGAAUCCUUUCUUUUGAAAGAAUUGAGUGGAAACCAAAAAGGGAUCAAGAGGCGUGUGAAAAGACUUGCUUGUUUCUUAGUGGAUCGCCGAGGUCUUUCUAUGGACAUUGAAGGCAUAAUUAAGAGAAUGUCUAAGGUGGUUGCACAAAUGCAGAGCUUUGGUAUACAGCAUAGCGUCAACAGAUCACCGUCUGUACAAGAGAGGCAAAGGGAGAUCCGACAAACAUAUCCUAAGAGGUCUCAAAAGGAUCUCGUGGGGGUGGAACAGAGUGUUAAGGAACUAGUUGGUCAUUUGGUGGAGAAUGAUAGCAUCCAAGUAGUUUCCAUAUCUGGGAUGGGUGGUAUUGGAAAAACCACUCUUGCAAGACAAGUCUUUCAUCAUGACAUUGUUCGAAGUCAUUUUGAUGGAUACGCGUGGAUCUGCGUUUCGCAAGAUUUUAAGCGGAAGGAUAUUUGGCAAAAGUUAUUGCAAGACCUUAGACCACAUGAUAAGGGCAUCGAACAUAUGAAUGAGAAUACACUCCAGGCUGAGCUCUUUCACUUGUUGGAGACGUCUAAAUAUUUAAUUGUCAUGGAUGAUGUAUGGAAAAAAGAAGAUUGGGAUGCAAUAAAAGACGUUUUCCCCCAAGAAAGAAGAGGUGAGCUCUCUUAUUGUACAUACAUUACUUAAGAACUCCCCAUAACCACAUUUCAUAAAGGGCAAUUGUCAAUAAUAGCACAUUUUGAAGUUUAUGUCACAAAAAGAGCACUAGAAGGAGAAAAUCACAAAAAUGACAUUCAUUAAAGGGUAAAAUGUCCCUAAUAUCCUUGGUUUAAAUUAAAUAAACAAACAAAAAUAAAUAAAUAAAUAAAUAAAAAAUAAAAAAAUAAAAAAAAAUAAAAAAAUAAAAAAAAUAAAAAAAAAUUUAUAGUUUCAGAUUAUAUGUUUUCAGAUUCGAAAUUUUUAUAAUUUUUUUAAAAAAAAUUUUGAAUUUUUUUUUUAUUUUUUUUUUCAAAUUUUCUUUUUAUAGUUUAAAAAUAAUUUUUGAAACUGUUUUAUAAAUUUUUAUUUUUUAUUUUAGUAUUUAUUUUUUAUAAAAUUUUAAACCCUAAUUCCAAAACCCCACCCCCUUAACUCUAAACCCUAAGGUUUGGAUUAAUUAACCCAAGGGGUAUAAGUGUAUAUUUACCUCUUUAAUGAAACCUAUUUUUGUGACUUUGAGCCUUGAGUGCUACUUUGGGAACAAAAACUUGGUUUGGUGCUAUCCUAGUCUUUUUCUCUUUCAUAAAUGCCUUUUGAGUCCCUGAGAUGAAAGGAAAUACAAUUGCAGGUUGGAAGAUGAUUCUUACUUCACGCGAUGAAGGUGUUGGUUUGCAUGCAGACCCAACAUGUUUUCCUUUUAGACCAAAACCACUUACUCCCGAAGAAAGUUGGAAGCUAUGUGAGAGCAUAGCAUUCCCUAGAAAAGAGAUAACGGGUAAUGUUUUUAUAUAAGAAUCAUAUGAAUCCAGAAUCCUUAAGGCCAGUAAUUUCUUACGGCCGGGACAUCUUAUCAAAAAUCUUGUGUAUUAAUUCCUAAAUCCGCAUGACAUAUAUUAUUACAUAUACCUUUGAGAAACAAUAUACCAUCAAUACUAUUAAAACAGAAGACCUUUUUUUGAGGUGCUCUUCUGUUUCAACAAUAUUUUCAGAUCUUUGCCACUGAAAUAUUUAAAACUUAUGAUUUUAAUUAAAUUCUGAAUUUUCUUUUAUUUAUACAACAGAAAAUCUAAUAAUGAAUCAACACGUUAUUAAAGUAAACCGACUUAUUUAAUAUUUUACCAAAAAAAAAAAAGUAAACCGACUUACCCAACGAACGUAAACCAACCAACAUACUUAACAAUAAAAUAAAGUGUUAUGCUGGUUCAAUCCAUCGAAGUAUAAAUUAUAAACUACAUGAUUCUAUAUACUUAACACGUCUUUAACUUGAUAUCAAGUAUAUAAACAAACAAUUUACAGCAUUUCAAUUCCUAUAGGAUACCGGUUCAAAUGUUCUAUAGAAAACUAAAUCGACGUUGGUAUGAAUUAAAUCAUCCAAUAUAUCACACUUAAAGAAACGAAUAUAUAAACAAUAAAUAUUAAAUAUAUGAACAAAAUAGGUGUGGGAAUAUUCAUUAAGAACAGUUAAUAUUUUCCUAAUUGAAUGGUCGAUAAGAUAUUUAUAAUAAUCAUAUUUUUCAUAGCAAUCAAUUAAAUGCAUCAGUUUCGGAAUGCUAACUAACAAUACCUUUCUUUUUAAAAAUAAAAUUAGAAAGAUCUUCCUAACUAAAUAAUUAAGUCGACAGCAAAAAAAAAAUUAUACAUGAACAAAAUGACUAAUCCUAUUAGAAAAAAUAAAUGAAUUUAUAAGGGUUUGAGAUUUAAAAAGUGUCGGUUAAAAAAGAGACGGGUUCAAAUACAUGACAGAUUUAUUUAUUGUAAAAUAUUAUUUUUAAAAACAAUUAAUUAUAAACUUUCUGAAUAUUUUUUUUUAAAUUCACCUUUCGUAUUGAAAUAUAAAUAUUCUAAAAAAAAUUGUUUUAUCAUGUAAUCUAAGAAAUAUGUCAUUACAAAUAUGUUCUUUACAAUUUCAUUUAUGAUAAUAAUGUGAAAUCUUUUUUUUCAAUAAUGUAUUUUUUCCUAUUAUAAAAAAUAUUAAUAAAAUAUUUUAAUAUUUUUAAUAAUAUAGUUAUUUGAAUUCAGUAUUUUUAAUAAUAUAGUUAGUACAAAAUUAAACUAACCCUUAAACUUACACAAUAUUUACAAUAGAAUGCCACUGCAGUAUUUAAUAAACCUAACAAUAGAUAUUCUUUGUCUUUCAUGUAUUAUUAAUGCAUUUUCCUAAAUUAAUUUUUAACUAAAAACAUGGCAACAAUAAUUUAAGCAAAUCUAAACAAUAAGGAAUAUCAAAACAUGAAUCAGUUGAGACAAUUUUUUUCACGAAAAAGAUGAUUAAUUAGUUUGUACUUUUAUUAUCAUAUCAUGAAUCAGUUGUAAUUUAAAAUCCAAUUUUUAUAUAUAUAUUUAUACUAUAAUGUAAAAAAAAUGACGUAAUAAGUGAAAAAAUCAUUUUAACCACACGAGAUCAACAUAUGAACAAUAAGAAAACAUAUACAAACAUCGUCCAUUUGUUCAAUGAAUAUUAUAUCUUUUUAAUGCUCUUCAUAUACUCAAUAUAAUCAAAAUAUCUAUUUUAAUAUAUCUAUAUUAUUAAAACUGAGGUAAGUAUUAGAAUAUUUUUUUUCAUUCUAAUAACUACAUGCGCUACCUAAUUAAUAAUUAUUAAUUAAUUGACAACAAAUCAUUUAUUUUGUUAGAUUUUUUGCUAUCCAAACUUCAAACUUAAUUCAUUAACUACAAAUCAUUUAUUUUGUUAAAUUCUUUUCUAACCAAACGUACGAAACUUACGAUUAUUUUCUAACUGGAUUAUUCUGUAACCAAAUUUUACAAUAAAACUAAAAAAAUUUAUUUAAAAUGUAUCUACAAACUUUAAAUGUUAUAGAUAUAUUCAUAUAUAUAAUUAUUUUAUUUCACAUGCAAAAUAUAAACUAUAGAUAUUUUUAUAAAGUUAUUUUCAAAAUAUAUAUUAAAUAAUUUGAUGAUUAAUACAAUUUACAAAUAUAAAUUUAAUUAUAAGAAUACAAUAAAUAAAUUUCAAUUUAAUAUUUUCUCAAAAAUGAAAAUAAAAGUGAAAUUUAUUUGGCAUAUAAAAAAAUUUAGAGACAUAUAUAUCUAUGUUAUUAAAACAUGAUACAUUUAAUUUUUAAAAUAUAAAUUUAUUAAUAUAUAUAUAAACAUAAUAAUUGGUACUCUAAUUUAGAAAUAAAUACAUCAAAAUGGUUACUGUAGUCAAAAAUAUAAAUCGACAAAUAUAUUAUAUAAUUUAUUUUUAAUUUGUUUUGUAUUCUACCAUAAUAUGAGAAAUCAACAAAUUACACACAGUAAAAAUAGUCCAUUUAUCACAAUUACAAAUCGAAUAAAUACCAUAUGAAUGUAUAUAUCUACAACUAUUAUAUUUUGUAUUGUAAAAAAAAUUAUAUUUCUAUUUUGUUAAUUAAACACCCGUGCGGAUGCACGGGUCAAACUCUAGUUUGAUUUAUUUCAUAUGUCAUCACCAAUGUUUUAAAAACCAGAUCGGACAUUGACUCGGCAUUGUACCUGGGUAAACGGUCGGCUCGGUCCAACCCGGUUCAAGCGGCUUUUAAAUUUUAAUCAAAUUUUAAAUUAAAUAACUAUAUAUAUAUAUAUAUAUAUGUAUAAUCAAUUUAAUUUUAUAAACCUUUCUAUCAUUGUUAAUAUAAAAAAUCAUAUGAAAAUAAAAUGCAACUUCAAAAAUAAUAUAAAACUAUAGUGAAAGUAAUUUAUUUAGAUAAAUAUUAAAAAAAAUAUGAAUUUUUAUGAAAUCUUUUUUAAAAUUGCAAAUUUUAUUUUUAAACUUGAAUUUGAGAAAAUUUAUUUAAAAAAAUCUCAUAAUUUCAUAAUUGAAAAAUAUUGUUUAAAAUCAGUUUAAAAUUGCAUUAUUUAAACAUAACUUAACAUUUAAAAGUUUUACGUAAACACAAGUUCAAUUAAAGCUACUUAAUUUUUUAUAAAACUUUAUUGUAAAUAACAUGUUUGGUUUUCUGUUGUGAAAGCAACACUAAGUAUAAAUUGCAUGCACCAUUAAAUAUUGAUUCUGGCAGAGUAACAAACGUUACAGAUACUAAAGUUUUAGCUAGCUCUAUUCAAAUAUGAAAGAAUUUCUAUACCAAAAACGAUGUGUGUUUUUUACUGAGAAAAACAUAAUUUUUUUUACUGAGAAAAACAUAAUUUUCUUGAAUAAAGUAGAAUCUUAAAUAUUGAAAUAUUUAUGUUGAUAGUUCAAAUUUCUUCUUAUAUUAAAUUACAUAUAAAUCUGAUAUUGAUAUAUUUAUAUUAAAGAUAUUGUCUUUUUAUAUUAAAUUUAUUUUUUAGUUAUAAAAAAAGAAAAUCGUUUUUAUUAAAUUACAUGUUUUAUAUUUAUUAAAGAUAUUUCCUUUUUGAUGAUAAAGUGAUUUGGAAACAAAUAUUUAAAUGUUUAUUAAAAUAUUGAUAGUGGUAUUUUAACAAUAAAAUUUAUUUAUUAAGGUUAUCACUGUAAUUAACCAUUCUAAGAAUCAACGUGAGUGCGACACGUAGAAAACUGACUUAUCAUAUACUAUUAUAGAGAUAAAGUACUAUUAUGGAGAUAAAGUACUAUUAUGUUCUACACAACUUUAUAUAAUUUUGCUUAUUUGUCAUCUAACACUAUUAAAAGGGGAAUAACAAGCCCUCUUAGAUGUGCCACGUCGGAUUGGAAAUUCAGACCAAUCAAACACAAGUUUUAUGACAUGUCAUUAGGUCAACACAUUAACAUACUGAACUUCAAUUUUAUUCGGCAAAAUCGAUUCCUUUUUCUUUCUUCUCAAUUUCUCUGCAAAAUGUAUUCUGAACUUUUGAUUUUCUAUCCAAGAGUCUACUCAUUGAUUCCUCUUCCUUUCUUCUCUCCUUCUCUACAAAACUUUUACCAUACCCAAGAGUCACUUUUUUUUUAAACUUCAGGCUUGUGAACUCUUAUUCUCGAAGUUGACUUUUGUGUGGUUCUCUUAGAAAUCCUAUUUCUGGAUUUAUGAUUCUGAAAAUUGGAAUUUUGUUUUUCGUAGUUGUAAGAUGGGGAAGAGAUGAGAAAGCGGUUAUAGGCGUUUCAGACAAAAAAAAGAAACAAGAGCUAAAGAAGGAGAAUCACGAUAAAUUACAAAGAGAUUUACGGCAAAGAUCAAAUUGAUGUGCUCUCCUCUGAACUCUGAUGGUAUCAUGGUAAAAAUAUUUGAUUCAAAAGCACUAAAAUUAUAGAGUGGAGAGAUUUGUGGAGAGAUUCAGUUUUUUUGUUCUCAUGUAAUUUUAAGUUAGUUCUCUCAUUGUUGUAUCUUUUCGCAUGAACAUUGUAAUUGAGUUGUUUGUGUGUAUGUCUUUUUAUAGAGUGUGGAUCACUGGAUCAACAUGGGUUUGCAAGGGACAAAAUCUGGGUAAUCGAUGACAAUCUAUCUCCUAUUUACUCAAAAGAGUUCUUAAGAAAAGCUUAGUUGAUCUUCAUCUCAAACCAUCAGAAGAGGACUUAAAGCAAUGGUCUGACAGGUAAAAGUAAAACCAUCAUCAUGCCUUUUAUGAUCUAUCUUUAUAGAUUCUGAAUUCUGUGUGUGUUUCCUUUUUGAGUUCCAGGUUCACUUGCUAUAGAUGGCGACUCAACAUUGAUUUCUUUAGAAACAUCAAUGGCAAGCCCUUCAGAUUCUUAUUUGCAUAUCAUACUUACCUCGCUGUCUCAGAUAUAAGGUAAUUGUACUCUUUAAAAAAAUAUAUCAUCAGCAAAAUAUUCUGUGUUUGAUGAAUCAUUCAACUAUUGAAGGAUCAGAAACAUUUGACUACUUGGAGAACCUCAGCAAAAAUGAGCUUUUGACUCUACUAGAGUAGAAACAUACUUCCCUGAGAACAAGUAUCGUUCGUUAACUGCCCAAAGUGGUAUCUCUCAGACACCAUAAGCUAAAUAAAUGUUUCUUUCAACGUGCAAAAAUCUGAAUCACAUUGCUUUAUAUUUCUAAUCUUCUUUGUUGGCAGGAACUUUGAAAACACAUUAAGUGAAUAGAACGUGUGAUGAUGAACUCAAUAUUCAGAACGUCUUUGUAGAACAUGAUGUCGUUUGUGUAAGUCGUAUAAUAUAAUAACUGUUCCAUAUUUACAUAUAUUUCGUCUUAGAACACAAAUCCAGACUGACCACAGAGUUCUUUAUUUUUUUGUUCUUAUAUGGUUUGAUUCGAAGUUAAAGUUCGUUUCUUUAAUUAUGUGUGUUGCAGAAGUCCAAGAGGAAUGAGUAUGCCAAACUAUCUCCUAACGUUUGCAAGGUAUUGUUUUACCUUGUCUGAUUUGUUUUCAUCAUUCUGUAAUUUUCAUGUGUUUGUUCGCUACAUGCUCGCAAGAGACUCAGCUUGAUCUUUGAAAAGUGCUCUGCUUUUUUCAAUUUUAGUUAGAGACCAAGGUUUCAAUUUUUGUUGCUGUUUGUUUGUGUCUCAGACUGUUUCGGUCAGGUUGAUAAAGGGGCUAAUAUUCUUGAAAUUUAUCGCAAUCAUUGUGAUACUGAUCACACUUGCUCGCAUGACGCUGCUACUUGCUCUUUUUGGUUCUUUGCGGGAGAAAUUGAAAGACUUGCGUUUAGCAUCUGAUCUCUCUUCUUUGUGUGUGUUUCUGCAAGUAAAAAUGGUUAAGGGCUUUGAAUGUACUUUUCAUUCUGAUGGGUUAUUUGGGAUUUAAAGUUUUUGACAUUCUCAGAGUUUCCAUAAAUUUGCAGCAUUGAACGUCAUUUUCCCUUUAUGAGUCCGUGCAAUAAGCUUGAAGACAGAGGUGGAAAGUCGGGGAGGUGGAUGGGACGAGCUUGCUGUGAUGGAUGGGGCGGAGAGGCGUCGGAUCUGAAGAAGCUGUGUAGUGGAGAUGGCAGAGGAAGCUAGCGGUGGUAGUGGUGGCGGCACAAAAAGAGAGAGCACUGGAAGAAUGGAGAUGAAUUUUAGGUUUAGUUAAAAAUUUGGUUUAGUUUGGUUUAGUUUAAUAUCGCAUUCAUAAAUAUGUAAACAAUUUCAAUAUAUAAAAUUUAAUUUAAUUUAUAUUUUUCAUAAUUUUUUAUUUUUUAAUAAUGAAAAUAAUUAACAAAAGUAAUACAUCAUUAAAAUCAAAUUAAUAAAUUUUAAUAACAUUUGUAUAACGUUAUUAUAAAUAUUAACAAUUGCAUAGAUAUUAACGCUAUUGUUGUUUAUUUAACUAUAGCAUACGACAAAUCCGCUAUCAAAAGGGUUGGACGAUGUCAGAGCGUUUUAGGGAACGCUAUUAAAAUGAACUAAUAGCGUUUAACGCCAGCUAUUAAUACCCCAUUUCCUAUAGUGUUCGAGUUACUACGCCAGAGUAUGCAACAUUCAGCAAGGUGGUAGCUUCCAGUUACGCUAAAUAGUCAAAAGUUGGAAAGUUUGGAUUUGAUCUGGUCACGUGCUCAAAGUCAUACCUUUUUAUUAAUCUUAUAAUGGUAACUUCUUUCUAUUGUUGAAAAUGCUUUUCUUUCUUUUAUAUAGAGUGAAGGUGGUGACAAAGCAGUUAAUCAGUUAGACAAAUCUGUUAAUCAACAAUAGCCGUCAACAUGUCUAUUGAGAACAAGGAAGUUGCUGAGAAGAUACAUCCGAGAACUAUACAAGUUUAAUUUUCUUGAUCUAUGUGUUAGUUUUAUCGCCGCCAACGUCCAGGAUUGUGAUCUCCAGUCUCUGCUUUAUACUAUAGUUCAGGUUAUAAAUGGAGUUGCUACACUGUUUAGUGGACCACGAUACCUGCUCCUAAGGGUUAAAUGUAUUCGAUGGCUAAAUCUCUUUCGUGCAAGUCGCAUAUUCAUUCCUAUAGCUUCACUGGUAUUGGAUAUACUGGAAUAUAAAUCCAUAAAUGAUAGUGAAAAGCAAGGAAGUAGCUUGAAGCUGUUUCAACCGUAAAGCUGCUUAAGAAUUGGUUGAAGUCCCUGAAUUUCCAAGAACAAUGUAUCUUUUCUGUGAUUGAGCUCCUUGCCGUCCACUUUUCUCAACGGAGCUUCAACAUAUCUUUUCUAGAGCUUGCUAUUAUUCCCUUAUGAGGCUGAACAAAUUUAACGAGAGAAGCAUUCUGGAAGGGUUAAAGAUGGACAUGGUGGUCAAACACUUCAUCAAGCAGGUGGAGUUGAAUAUUGAGUCUGUACACAAUACUAUCAAAGCAUCACAGACAAAGGUCUUGGAACAAAAAAAGAAGAAGUGAGACAAGUGUGCGAACAAUAAUAAUGCAAUUCCUGGGUUUGCAACUCAGAUUAUAGGGCAUAAUCAAACCGUAGCAGUUAGAAUUCUCAAAUUCUUAAACCAUUUUUGUUUCAUAAAUUAUUUUCAGAAAUACACAAAACGUCUAUGCAAUCUGGUUAAUAAAAACGGUGAAACAAAAAUAAAUCAGAUUCAUUCGAAAAAAUGUGUUUAAUCAGUAAUCUAAUUUCAGACCUACAACAGUAAUGUUUUAAAAAUGUUUUAAAAACAAUAGCCAAAAAAAAGUAGCAAUCUAAUUUCAGACCUAUGACAGUAAUGAUUUUGUUAUAUAUCGACAAUUUAUAACUUUGAGAGAGCUUUUAAACUGGGUAUGAGGUCCUCACUCUUACUUGUUUUCGAGAGGUCAUGCAAGAUCAUGUUUGAGCAAAGUUGACUCAAACACUACCCAACAAACAAACAAAAAGCUUGAACAUGAAAAAAAAAGUAUUAAUAUUUACAAUGAUUUCCAAAGUAUUAAAUAUUUAAAUGAUUAUCAUCAAAUGUAGUUAAAUAAAUAUUAAAAUAGUUAAAUUAUUAAAAUAAGGAACUAUGUAUAAAUUAAUAUGACAUCAAAUGUAAGAAAGUAAACCUUAAAUAACUUUACAACUAAAAAUAUUCAAAUCAUGAAGCAAAAUUUCUUUCCAUCACAAAAAAGCAAACAAUAAAUGAUAAAUUAAAUAUUUGGUUAAAGGUAAAUGGAGACAACAAACUCGAUUGGUACUUUCUCUUAAAUUCAAGUAUAAAAAUGAAAACUUAAUAAUUGUAAAACCAAACAAAAUUUAUACAGUAUUAAUUAUAAGUUUUACAAUUUUUUUACAUAAAAAUAAUAACCAAGAAAAGAAUAUAUAUAGAUCUUAACUAAUAAUUUAGUUAACUUUUUAUUAAUCUUUGCUAAUAUGAUUCUAAUAUCCUAUUUAAAUUUCCAAUAAAACACACAAACAAAUUCUAAUAGUUUUAAAUAUGCAUAUAUUUUUAUAAUUAUUCUUUAACCAGUUCCAGUAUAUAUUAUAUUUGUUCAUUUUUAAAAUAAAAAUACACAAAUUCAAUUAAUAUUAUAGGAAAAAAUCCGGGCGUAGCCCGGAAAACCCUCUAGUAUUUUUAAUGAUUUUGACUGAUGAAUCAUCAAUUUAGAUUUAUACUAUUAUUUAAAAUUUUAUCUUAUUUAGUCAUCAAUUAUUUAUUUAAUCUUAAUUUUAAAAUAGAAUUAAACUAAUAUUUAAAAUUAAUUAAUGUAAUCAAAUAAUAAAUCUAAAAACUGACAAAAAUUAUUUUAAAAUAAAAUUUAAAUUUAAAAAAAUAUUACUCUAAACAUAGUGCAGAAAAAUACCUAAUACAACUUCAUAUUGUAAGUGAACAUAAUGUUCAAGACAAAAAAAAAGUGGUAGUAAUAGCAAAAAGUAUAAAUACAAAGUAAACUAUAAAGGGGCCAUCAUAAAACUAACAAUUCUUCAAUAGUUAUAAGUUAGAAAAUAUUAUAUAGAUUCUUUAACUUAAAAAUUAGUUAUUUAUUAAUGGUAUCAACGUUUUUAACCGAUCUGACUUUUAAGGUGAGAGCUAAUAAAAAAAAAUUAAAUCAUUUUGCAAAUAAUAAAUAGAUAUAUUAUAUUUUAACAUUUAAAAGACACACAUAUAUUUCGAGGCUCUAAUCUUAUAGUACGGUUUUCAGAAUAAAUGUUGAUGAAGAACUAGAAGCCAUGGGUAAGAAAAUGGUCACAUAUUGUGGAGGACUACCAUUAGCCGUUAAAGUGCUGGAGGCUUGUUAGCUAAUAAAAACAUGGUUGAAGAGUGGAAAAGAGUAGAUGACAAUAUUCAAACUCAGAUAGUUCGCAUAGAUGACAACAGUCAAGAUUCGGUUUACCGAGUAUUGUCUAUGAGCUAUGAAGAUUUGCCCAUGCAGUUAAAGCAUUGCUUCCUAUACCUAGCUCAUUUUCCCGAAGAUGACAAGAUACAAGUACGGAUAUUGUAUAAUCUUUGGGAAGCAGAAGGAAUAAUAACGUCAAGUUGCGAUGGAGAAACCACUAGGAAAAUUGGAGAAGAAUACAUAGACGAGCUAGUAAGGAAAUAUGGUUAUUGCAGUAAAAGAUGAUUUGAGUUGCAAAUGGAAGUAUUGUCAAAUGCAUGACAUGAUGAGAGAAGUAUGUUUAUAUAAAGCCAAAGAAGAGAACUUUCUUCAGUUUAUCGAAGUACCUACUUCUUCACCUCUACCAUCAAUGCGCAUACUCCUACCAGAGCUCGCAGACUCGUAGUACACGGUGAUGGUAAUGCAUUUGAUAUGCUGGGACGUAAAAACAAUCAAAAAGCUAGAUCUGUUUUGGUUUUGGACUCGACAGCAACUUGUGGAAGCAGUCAGGUCAAGGAUUACGAAAUUUACAACUACUAGGGUCUUAGAUCUGAAUUUACAAACACAUGAUAGCGACUCUAGAGGAGGGAGAAUACCAUCCAGCAUUGGAAAAGCUCAUUCAUUUGAGAUAUUUGAGCUUACACAUGGGUCGUGCAACUCAUGUAGAGUUAAGGUCCCUGAUGCUUCCCUUUAUAUUGACGCUAAACAAAGUUGGAAUUGGGUAAUCUACUGAACCUAGAGUACUUGGUCGGCUUCCGACUUGAAUACGUAGCAUCACAGACUUCCUCCGAAUGAAAAGCUCAGGACUCUCGAGAUAUUUCUCAAAGGCAGGUAUACUUCUGAAAUUCUUGCGUCAUCUCUCUGUGAAUUAACAAACCUGGAGACGCUUAAAUUGAUCAAUGUGAACGGAUACGAUGAGGCUUAUGAUUUGGAUUUCGUUUGGAAUUUCAUUCAUCUAAGGCAUUUAGAGCUGGACAUACAUAUAACAAGGCUUCCUGAUCACUCUCGAUUUCCUCCCCACUUGCACACAUAUCUCUAUGUGACUGUAAAAUGGAGGAGGAUCCACUGCAGAUUCUGCAAAAGUUGCUUCAUUUAAAGUCGGUUGAAUUAUCAUAUAGUACUUUCGUGGGGAGGAAGAUGGUGUGUUCAAAAGGUGGAUUCCCUCAGUUAUGUAAGCUACAAAUACGGUUCCUGCACAACUUGGAAGAGUGGAUAGUCGAAGAAGGGUCGAUGCCAUGUCUUCGUACCUUGUCUAUUCGGUAUUGUAAGAAGUUGAAGGAGCUACCGGAAGGGCUCAAGUAUAUAACUUAUUUAAAGGAACUGGAUAUCAGACAUAACAACAAGGAGUGGAAGAAGAAACUCGCACCAGGUGGGGAAAGUUAUCACAAAGUCAAACACAUUCCUAGUGUUCAAUUAAACUAUCGUGGCAAUUAAUAAGGAGAAUAAAACUGUCUCAGGUAUAUAUUCUUUUUGGUAUAAUGUCAAUAUUGUUCAUUUUGUUGGUUAUGUAUCCUCCUUGAAGUUUAGUGUGAGUCUCAACUCUCUGUUAUUCGGUUUUCAGGUGAACCUACUCAGGAUCAGUACCCACCACUAUCGAUUGUGUGAUAUGAUAAUAAGUCGUUUUGUUGUAUGAAGUUUACAUAUCUUGUUUGUGAUAUAUUUCGUUUAUCUGUUUGCAUGCUCAUUCACUGUAAUACUAAGUUUGAAAUAUAUUUUGUAUGUUGAACCAUAUCUUCUUCGAUGUCUCCGUUGUGUGUGCUUAGUUGAUUUUCAUAGUCGGAACUGGAGAUAGAACGAUGGUUUUAUCAUGACAAAACGCAAGAACAACAACACAUAUAAAUUAGAUAUGUUGUAACAACUAUUUAAAAAAUUGAAUGAUGGAAACCCCAAAUUUGUUUAAAGAAAAUGAUGUUGAUAGUGGUUUUUGAAAAAAAAAAAGGAUUAUGAUGAACAAUAACAAUGAAAACUCAUUGUAAACACGCUUUAGAGAGCCAAACAAAUAAAUCAAUUCUAAGAUUUUUGGUGGAAAGGUAAUUUAAGAGGAGAUGGAAAACGAUAACAGGAAUGAGUCUUUAAAAACACACAUAUAUAUAGAUUGAUAAAGGAUGCUUCAUCUAAGAGUUGUAUUGUUUUGAGAUGGAGACUAUUCGGUGAAAAGAUGCAACGCACCGCAGUUUUGUUUUUUUAUAUCAUUAAAUUCAAUCAAAUAUGACUGUUGGACUUAAAACCUUUUUCUUUUAAAAAGUGACGAUAUCACCAGUUUUGGUAUGCUAUUAUAUAUAUAAUUUUUUUAUAAUGAAAAUAUACAAUUUUAAAAAUUAAUAAUAUUCAGAUUGUUAUGAAAAUAUACAAUUUAUAUAAUGAACAGACACAAUUUUUCAAACUAAUACAUUUCAGUUUUUUUUUAUGAAACAACACAACCAAAGUAGUUAUUUUGAAAAGACACAACUAUUUCGAUUUUUAGAAAAGAUACAACUUUUCAACAUAAGUAAGAUUCAUAACCUUUGAAAUUAAUCAGGAUUGCUAUUAUUAGUAGAUAAAAUAUUUGAUUUUAUCAUAUAUAUAUAUAUCUAUUAAUAAUAGCAAUCCCAAUUAAUUCAAAAGGUUGUGAAUUCUACUUAUGUUGAAAGGUUAUAUCUUUUCAAAAAUUAAAAAUUGUGAUUUUUCAUAUAAGUAUUAUUACAAAAAGACACAACUUUUUAAUUCAAACGAUGUGACUCUUCGAAUUUUUUUUUGAAAAUCUGUAAAUAAUCCAAUGUCCAUGCCUUCUCAAAGCAUAAUUUCCCUAAUCAAAUAAAAUGGUCACAUUCGUAGGGUUUUUAUAAAUACUUUAAAAAUAUAUAUAUAUUUAAAUAAAAAAAUGUGACUAUUUAUAGUUAAAAGUUGUGACUAUUUAUAUAAGUAUUAUCUCAAAAAGAACAACCAAUUAAUAUGAAAAGUUGUGAAUUGAUAGGUUGUGUUUUAAAACAUGUAACUCUACAAAAUAUUAGCUUUAAGAGUUGUGUUUUUUCAUCAUAAAUGAUAUAUUAGUUUUCAAAAGUUAUAAAAUAUUCUAUAAAGUAUCUUUGUACAAUUAUUUGUUUCUAGAGUUGUUUAUUAGUUAGUGUAAAUAGUAAUGUCUUUCUAUUGUAAAAGAAAACUAGAUUUUGACCCGCGCUUUUUAAGCGCGGGUUUUUUUCCGACAAAAAUAAAAGUUUAAAUUGAUUAUUAUUUUGUGUUCAUAUAAUUUUUUUAAGAUUAAAGUCACCAUGAUUUAUAUUGAUGUGAUCAAGCAUCUGCGUUUUUGAAAUUUGGUUGAAAUGUUUUUAAAAAUGAUGUUUGUUUGUCUAAUAGUAUAUGAAAUAUGAAGUGUAAAUAUAUAUAUUGGUAUUGGAAAGAUUGUUGCACACAACUAUAUAUAUAUAUAUAUAUUAACUAUCAAAAUUUAAAAAUAUAAAAGCAAAUAUAUAAAAGGAUUUAAUAUGUAGUUAUUAUAAAGCUAUAUUUUUUUCUAUACAUAGUCAAUAUUUAAAUUAUUGUUGAAAAUUAAAAUCUAAGUUUUUAAUUGCAGGUUUAUUAAUAUAGGUGUAAAAUGAGUUUUAAUAUAAACUAUGACAUUGUCAUAUAUACAUGAUACGUUUUUUUAUUUCACAUGUCCUAUUAGAAACAUACCAUAUAUAGGUCUAUUUAUUUAUACUGCUGGUACAUACGAUUUUAUAUAUACCUUUAUCAAAAUAUGCGAUAUUAUAAGGACUAAAAACCUUUUAACUAACGUUGAGUAAUAUAUGGUAAUAGGAGAAAUAAUAGGUAGACCAAUAUACUAUUAAUUAAAUAAAAGGGUGCAGUAACCUUGUUUAAGUAGAUUUCUCAAGACUGAUUCUCUUUUAAUAGAAUAGAUUUAGUUUUUAAAAAUAGUUAAGGUGUCUUUCUUUAAUAAAUAUCUUCGUGUCUUUCUAUUAAUCUUGUUGUAUUGUGUAACCUUGCAAUGUUUGGUUAUUAACAGUUGCAACUUUUAGUUUCUUAUAUAAAGAAUUUUGGAUUGCGACACAUCACAAAAAUUCAUUUACUUGAUUCACCCAAAACAUACAACAUUUUGUAUAUUUGUUUAUUUUAGAAUAACAACACUUGUGAAACAUAAAACAAGUGUUUCAAAACAUUUCGAUUGCAAAAAAGAAAAGAAAAUACCCAGUAUUCCUCAACAUGCAUACUGCAUAUAUAAUCUCAUACAUCACUCUCCUAAACUCUUUUUUCUUUGUUUUAUUUUUGUUGUAUUAUUGACUAGUAUAUAAUCUUAUAUUAAUAUUAUACUCAUGUGAUGAGAACUUCCCCCCCCCCCCCCCCCACCCCCCCCACCCUUUUCAAAAUUCGACCAAUUAAGUUGGUUCGUUGAAUCGUUAUCGAUUUUUAUAAAUUGGUUCUGCAACGGAUCAUCGUCCAUCGCGCAACACUCCAACCUCGUCUCCCAAGGCACGUUUACAGAUUUGUCAAGUCGUCAUGUUCUUCUGAUCUGAUAAAUGCGUAAUUUGAUGAACUCUUCUCUCGCCUAUUUGCGGUACUAUUAGGCAGAAGAACCCGUCGAUUUACGUCCCGUCACGACGGAUCUCCAGCGGAACUGCUGCGGCGACGCUGCGUUAUGCCACUGCUAUGAGAUCUUAUUCUACGUCGUUUAUGGAAGAGAGGGACACUUUCGGGCCGAUCCAAGUUUCUUCCGGUAAGUACAUGAUAUUUUUUUUUUUACCAUAACGUCUUGACUAUCUCAGUUCUCCAGUAUGUCUUAUCAGCCUUAUCUUUGUUGUCACUGUGUCAGAUUUUGGGGAGCCCAGACGCAGAGACGCUGCAGAACUUCGAAAUCGGUGAUGAGCACGAGCGUAUGUCCAAACCUAUCGUCUGCGGUUUUGGCGUCUUGAAGAAGUGCGUGGCCAAGCAUAGCUAUAAGUCUAUAACCAUAGGUUUUGUCUAAGUCAUGCACAUUGCCGCUGUAACUGAGAUUAAUUGAAGGCUCUUAUUCGUAAGACUGAUCAAAAAGCCAAUAAUGUGGCGGUGAUUUCAACCGGAAAGGAAGAUAAGUUCAAUUAUUAAGCUUCUAAAAAGUACAUAAAAACAUACCUUGACAAUCUAUGAUUAAGAGAUGAACGAAAAUGCAAUGCAGAUGAAUGAAGAGGUUGAAUAGAACGCAGAAAUCAGGAAUCAGAAAAAGAAAAUUGAAAAAAGGAGAUAAUUUGUAAACUGGUUAUCAAAAAUAUAAACGUAUGAAGAGGUGCCAACUAAGAGUCACAAUUUCAUUAAUGGAUAAAAGUCAGACAAUGCUUCACUACCGACAUACAACUUUGGUAGAGUCGUGUCUUAACUAAACCAUUGGAUUAAAAGGUUGCUAAUCUCAACAGUUUCCUGUUUUUUUUUUUGAAGAAAAUUACUAUAAGAAUAUGAAAUGGGACUUGGAACAAAAAAAAAGAAAAAAAAAAGAAAAGGGACUUCACUAACGACACAAAGCUUCAGUAGCGGUAGCGUCUCCUUUUUUUGUCAAAACAAAAAAAUUACUAAUCUGAACAGUUUCCUGUUUUUUAAAAGAAAGUUACUAUAAGAUUAUGAAAAGGGACUUCACUAACGACACAAAGCUUCGGUAGCGUCUCCUUUUUUUAGUCAAAUCAAAUGAUCAGCCCUUGGAUUAAAAGGUGUACUAAUUUCAACCAUUCCUUUAAACAAAAUUAUAAUAUAAAAAAAUGAUGUCAGAUAAAUACAAAUUUUGGUUUGCUAUUAUAUGUAGACCGUGUUUUUUUUGUAAUGAUAUAUCUUUUCAAUAUACAUUAUAUACAACAUUUUAAAAAAACUAUUUAUAAUUUGAAAAGUCGUGAUCAUUCAUAUACAUAUUUGAAAAACUAUAAAUAGCCCAUGUCCAUAAAUUUCUUAUUGUAAAUCUUUCAAAAAUUUAUUAAAAUGGCCAAAAAGAAAAGUUAUGUGCAGUAACCUGAUUACAAAUAAUUUGAAGAUAAUAGACGAAACGAUGUCAACAAAGAAUUGUAGCAAGGGUCAUUCAUGUUUGGCUAGUAAAAAAUUCUAAACGAGAUACUGAAGUUAUUAGUCUUAAUUUCUCUUCAACUAGAUGAAAAUGUGUGCUUUUAUUUCUUACAAAUUUUGCAUUUGUAAUGAUGUAUGUUCCAUGAAACACAUAUUAUGCAUGUCUUAUAUAUUCAUGUGCUAUAUAUUCUUACACUUGGGUUAUAUAAGAAUGUAUGAUCAUGUCACAAAAGCCGGUAAAUUUUAGUAACAUAAUAUUCUUAUUGAUUGUUGACAUUUUAUUUGAGUGGAUAUUUUUGUUUUACAAAACCAGUCAAUUAAUGUAUUUUUUUCUCAUUCUCUUGGGUUGUUUCAUAUUUGUGACAUCAAUAAUCAUUAUCAAUAAAAGAAUAUAGUUAUAUACAAAAUAAUUUUGUAACACGUGUAUUGUCUCAAAAUUAAUUGUAAACAAUUUUCAUAAAAAUUUAUUUUAUAAAAUAUAUUAUAUUUACUUUUAUGAAAUGAGUUCCCGUGCGAUAUCGCACGGGUUCCUUACCUAGUAUUAACAGUGGCGGUUCUACUAAGCUCAAGAAGGUGGCACUUGCCCCCUAUAAAAUCAUUAAAUUCUUUUUAACUUACCCAAAAUUUUGUUACAUACGUUUACUGAAAAUCAUGUUUUAUUUAUAUAGUUGUAUUUACAUAUGAUUUGCCCCCAGUAAAAUUUUGUUCUACAUCCGCCCCUGUAUAUUAAUUAACUUUUAGAAAUCCGACAUUUAUAUUUUUUUGUUACACUAUUUGGUGUAUACAAAAUAUGUUUUAUAGAAUUUAAAAUGUAUUUUUAUAUAUAAUUUUACGAAAUAUUAUCAAAAUAUAUUGAAAUGUUAAGAAAAAAUAGAAAUGAACUUCAUUUGUGAAUAUAAAACAAAUAAUACAAUGUUUAAUGUUUGUACUUUAUGUGUUUAUUAAUUAUAGAAUUUUUACUGCAUAUUGUUAUAAAUAUAUAUAUAUAUAUAUUUUAAAAACAUUUGAAAAGACUAAACACACUAUUAUUUCAAGACUCUGAUCUUAUAACGUGUGUUACUAUUUUCAGAAUUUGAUGUUGAUGAGGAACUAGAAGCCAUGGGUAAGGAAAUGGUGGCAUAUUGUGGAGGACUACCAUUAGCCAUUAAAGUGUUGGGAGGCUUGUUAGCUAAUAAAACCAUGGUUGAAGAGUGGAAAAGAGUAGAUGACAAUAUUCAAACUCAGAUAGUUCGCAUAGAUGACAAAAGUCAAGAUUCUGUUUACCGAGUAUUGUCUAUGAGCUAUGAAGAUUUGCCAAUGCAGUUAAAGCAUUGCUUCCUAUACCUAGCUCAUUUUCCCGAAGAUGACAAGAUACAAGUGGACAGAUUAUAUUAUCUAUGGGCAGCAGAAGGCAUAAUAAAGUCAAGUGGCGAUGGAGAAUAACGAGUCAAGGUCCAACCGGGCAAUCCGGUUUUCAAAACACUAGUCAUCACCAUAAUGAUUCUUUUUUUUAGAGAAAUAUGUUAGCCAUCUAAACAUAUAAUAUAAUACUCAUUAAACUAAGUAUUAAAUUAAUUAUUAAUGUACAAAACAUAUUAUUCCUUCUUUGCUUAAGUAUAAGCUACAAAAUUACAUAAUGUGAUAAAUAUAUAUAAGGAGUUUUCUUGCGCCAUGCGCAAAUAUACUAAUUUUUAGCUAAAUUUUUAUUUAUUUUAUUUUAAAUAAAAAUAAAUUUACGUUUUCAUACUAUUAUUUUUAUAUUUUAAAUUCAUCGGUCUGGAAAAGAGUGAAAUCACAACUAUUUUUUUGUAAUUUUGUUUCAUUUGAUUUGUUUUAUUUAUUUUAAUUUUAUUUUAUAUGAAUUUUAUUGGAGAAGAAUUAUAUUUUAUAUAACUUUGAAUUUUAUUUAUUUAUAUUUAGUGAUUAUUUAUUUUGAAUAUGUUUCUUAUCCUCUAAGUGUAUAAAUUUUAAUAAUGAUUGGGUUUCUGUUUAAAUGUAUAGCUAAUAUGUUAAACUUGUAAACUCAAUUUCUUAAUUAAUCAAAUAAACUAAUGGAUGCUACUAAAAUUUUAAACAUUUAAUCAUCCAAAAAAAUUGAUUAGCAUUGCUUUAGUUUUGUGUUCCCUAAUGCACACUUACACUUUAUUUUAAUAAAAUAUAAAAUAUAUAUAGAAAAUAUGAUAAAUAAGUUAAUUUAAAAUUAAAAUAUAAUUAUAUUUAGUUUAUUUUUAUAAAUAUGAUAUAUAUAAUUUUAUUUUAUUUCAAUGGUGAUAUAUGAAUUAUUAGUUAUUAAUAUACUUUAAAAGUCUUGCCAAAAUAAACAUUUACACAGAAAUGCUAACUUCUAAAUAGUGAUAUAAACAUUAUUAGUCAUUACCAUUUUUAUAAAUUCUUACUAAAAAUAUAUAGAUUUGUAAAAGUUAUUAUUAUUACCAUAUUUAAAAGUCUUUAACAAAAAUAUAAAUUUUUAUAAGAAAAUUUUCAUGUCAAAUUAACUUGAUCUCAUGUCAUUAUUUUCUAAAAACAUGUCAUUUUUUUGGGUGAGAAUGAACACUGUGAUGACAUGUGUACAAAACCACUUUGCAAUUAAUAUUUAGGAGAUACUACAAUCAAUGACUUUGAAUAAUAAUGAUUUGAUAACAAUUUGUGUAUCAUCCAUCAUCUUUAUUUAAUUUUAAAUUAUUAAAAUAAAUUAAUUAAUCAUAUUAAUCAUCUAAUAAAAAAUAGAUUUUCCUUAUAUUUUGAAUUUUAAAGAUGACUAUAAAUUACUAAAAUUGUUAAAAUUAAUGGUUUAAUUUUAUUAUUAUAAUAAGAUACAAAUGAUCAUAAGAACUUAUGAAUAUGAAAUUUCAUUUAAUAGAACUGUAGAUUAAAAUAUAUAUAUAUAUAUAUAUAUAUAUAUAUAUAUAUAUAUUUUAAUAUCGUUUAAAUUUAGCUGUAUAUAUAUAUAUUUUUUUUUCUGAACAUUUGAAAAGACUAGAGACAUUAUUUCAAGGCUCUAAUGUUAUAAUAUGUGUUACUGUUUUCAGAAUUUAUUGUUGAUGAAGAACUAGAAGCCAUGGGUAAGAAAAUGGUCACACAUUGUGGAGGACUACCAUUAGCCGUUAAAGUGUUGGGAGGCUUGUUAGCUAAUAAAACCAUGGUUGAAGAGUGGAAAAGAGUAGAUGACAAUAUUCAAAGUCAGAUAGUUCGCAUAGAUGACAAAAGUCAAGAUUCUGUGUACCGAGUAUUGUCUAUGAGCUAUGAAGAUUUGCCAAUGCAGUUAAAGCAUUGCUUCCUCUACCUAGCUCAUUUUCCUGAAGAUGACAAGAUACAAGUGGACAGAUUAUAUUAUCUAUGGGCAGCAGAAGGCAUAAUAAAGUCAAGUGGCGAUGGAGAAACCACUUGGGAAAUUGGAGAAUACUACAUAGACGAGCUAGUACGGAGAAAUAUGAUUAUUGGAGUAAAAGAGGAUUUGAGUUGCAGAUGGGAGUAUUGUCAAAUGCAUGACAUGAUGAGAGAAGUAUGUUUAUAUAAAGCCAAAGAAGAGAACUUUCUUCAGUUUAUCGAAGUCCCUACUUCUUCCAUCUCCACCAUCAAUGCUCAUACUCCUACCAGAUAUCGCAGACUCGUAGUACACGGUGGUGGUAAUGCAUUUGAUAUGCUGGGAUGUAAAAACAAUAAAAAAGUUAGAUCUGUUUUGGGGUUUGAACUCGACAGCAACUUGUGGAAGCAGUCAGCUCAAGGACUCAGAAAUUUACAAUUACUUAGGGUCUUACAUCUGAGUUUAGAUUAUAAAAGCGACUCUAGAGGGUGGAGAAUACCUUCGAGCAUUGGAAAACUCAUUCAUUUGAGAUAUUUGAGCUUAGACAUGGGUUGGGCAACUCAUGUACCUUCUUCUUUACGGAAUCUAAAGCUUCUAAUCUAUUUGAGAAUUUCCUCCUGGGGACUGGAAAGAGUUCAUCUGCCAAGUAUCUUUAACGAGAUGGUACAGUUGAGGGUCCUGAUUCUUCCCCGUUCUUUUGACGCUAAAACAAAGUUGGAAUUGGGUAAUCUCGUGAACCUGGAGUACCUGAUCGGCUUCCGAUCAGAAUACGGUAGCAUCACAGACUUCCUCCGGAUGAAAAAGCUCAGGACUCUCGAGACCUGGAGAAGCUUACAUUGAUCAAUGAGAACAACAAAUCCGAUGGGGUUUAUGAUUUGGAUUUCGUUUGGAAUUUCAUUAAGCUAAGGCAUUUAGUGAUAUGGAUGCAUAUGCCAAGGCUUCCUGAUCACUCUCGAUUUCCUCCCCACCUUGCACACAUAUCUCUAAUUAACUGUAAAAUGGAGGAGGAUCCACUGCAGAUUCUGGAAAAGUUGCUUCAUUUAAAGUCGGUUGAAUUAGGUUACAGAUCUUUCGUGGGGAGGAAGAUGGUGUGUUCAAAAGGUGGAUUCCCUCAAUUAUGUAAUCUAGAAAUAGAGUUACUAAACGACUUGGAAGAGUGGGUAAUCGAAGAAGGGUCGAUGCCAUGUCUUCGUACCUUGUCUAUAUGGUUCUGUGACAAGUUGAAGGAGCUACCGGAAGGGCUCAAGUAUAUCACUUCUUUAAAGGAACUGGAAAUCAUACAUAAGAACAAGGAGUGGGAGACGAAACUCGUACCAGGUGGGGAAAGUUACCACAAAGUCCAACACAUUGUUACCACUAUGAUGGCGACGAAUAAGGAGAGUAAACCGGUCUCAGGUAUGUUUUUUUGGUAUAAUGUCAAUAUUGUUCUUCUUGAAGUUUUGUGUGCAAGUCUCAACUAUCUAACCUUUUUAUUAUUCGGUUUUCAGGUGAACCUACUCAGGAUCAGUACCCACCACUACCGAUUGUGUGAUAUGAUAAUAAGUCGUUUUUGUUGUAUUGGUGUGUGAAGUUUACAUAUCUUGUUUGUGAUAUAUUCCGUUUAUCUAUUUGCAUGCUCAUUCACUGUAAUGCUAAGUUUGAAAUACAUUAUUUGUAUGUUGAACCAUAUCUUAUUCGAUGUUCUCCGUUGUGUGUGCUUAGUUGACUUGUAUAGUUACCGAACCGAACCUGAGUUUUCCAAAUUUGUCUUUUACUACUAAACCGGACAAAUUGAUGGUUUAAAAACAAAACUCGGUCUGGAUUAUAAUAAAAUCAGAUCAUGAGAGACUACCAAACAAGAGAGUCCUUUCGAUCUCUGCAAAUUUGUUUUUGACUCUAAUUAAGAGGAGAAGAAGUGUACUAGUUGAAGCGAAGAAUCCAAAACGCGGUGAUCAAUCGCCAAACGUAUGCAUAACUGGGUUAGAGCUUCCUCUUCCGAUCUCACGGGAACUCCUCCACAGCCUAGGAGGUAAAUUAAUUACUUCUUCUCCAUUCAAUUUUCGAUUUUAAUUUCAGCUGCUGAUUUUUAUUCUUCAAUCAGUGGACAUACAGCUGUCAAUGUCGGAAAAUCCAUGGUCGUGGUGUUCGGCGGUCUCGUCGACAAAAAGUUCCUCAACGACAUCAUUGUUUAUGACAUUGGUAAUAUCAUACUUCAGCCUAGGAUUAUUGAUUCCUUGAUCCAAAGAAGAUGCUUUUUUUUUAAAUUUCCCUUGAGUUACUGUCUUCGCUUGUAAUAUAAAGACUAGUGUUUCUUGUAGUUUAUUGUGUGUUAAGCUUAGUUAGGCUAAUGCGUACAUCAAAGAUAGAGUUACUUUGCAAAAAAAAAACUGUAGAAAACUGAAAACUUCACCACUAAAAUUAUUAGACUCACUAUAGGAUACUCUCUUUCUUAUUCCGCAUGGCAUUGUUUUAAGUACCAGUGAAAUUAGUUUCUUUACGGUCUGCUAGUAUAUGUGGUGGUUAUAUCAAGUACAUAGUUUCCUAUCCAGCUUUUUUAAUCGGUUUGUCUUAUGAUUUGCUUCUUCUUUAUCCUGUCGACUAGAAAACAAACUCUGGUUUGAGCCAGAGUGUACUGGCAGCGUUUCUGAAGGAAAAGUUGGCCCUACACCUCGCGCCUUUCAUGUUGCCAUAACAAUUGAUUGCCAUAUGUUCAUCUUUGGUGGACGUUCUGGUGGCAAGAGGUACUCACUACUAUAUAUUUUCUAGUUAGAAGCGUUUUUACAUUUCUACUUUCACCGGAAUAGCUUAUUUCUAGAAAUAAAUCAAUUUCAGAUUGGGUGACUUCUGGGUUCUAGAUACAGGUAAGUGUACAAUCAUAACAAUGUCAGUGACAUUAUGUCACUGAGACCUGCCUGGGAACUUUUUAAUACCCUGCUGCUGACAUUUUCUGCAGAUAUAUGGCAGUGGUCUGAGCUAACCAGCUUUGGCGACUUACCUACACCUCGUGAUUUUUCUGCUGCCGCUGCUAUUGGCAACCAGAAAAUCGUGUUGUGAGUAUCUGAAAUUUUAGACGUUCCAUCAGCUUGUUUCCUGCAUUGGCUUAGCCUAUGAUUAUUGGCAGGUGUGGCGGCUGGGAUGGUAAAAAAUGGCUGUCAGAUGUGUAUGUUAUGGAUACAAGUAAAACUUUAUACCUCUCGUCUACUUCAGUUUUGUAAUAAACUGUUUUUAAGUUUCUGAUAAUGUCAGCUUGCUUUGUAUUUGCUAGUGUCCCUUGAAUGGAUGGAGCUGUCGGUUUCGGGGUCGUUACCGCCUCCUAGAUGUGGUCAUACAGCCACCAUGGUUGAGAAACGUUUACUUGUUUUUGGUGGCCGAGGUAUAACACCAGAACCAGAAUCUUUGUUUUGCUUGAGCUGAUGACAACUAAACUGAGACUAUGGUUAUCUUUGACAGGAGGUGGUGGCCCUAUCAUGGGUGAUCUUUGGGCUUUGAAGGGUUUAAUAGAUGAAGGUUCAUCCUUACUUAAAUUCUUAAAAAUUGCAUUGUUAUGUUAUGUUUGCUAAUCUUAUUGUGGUUUACCUUUGUUGUGGAAGAAAGAACGUGAAACACCUGGAUGGACCCAACUAAAGCUUCCUGGUCAAGCACCAUCAGCUCGAUGUGGUCACACUGUCACAUCCGGAGGACAUUAUGUAUGUCUAUUUCAGCUUCCGUUUGCUCUUUUGUAUAAAUAGGUUCGCAUGACAUACAUCACUCACAUCAUUAAUUUUCAUGUAUGAAGCUUCUGUUAUUUGGGGGACAUGGAACUGGUGGAUGGCUGAGUCGUUAUGAUGUCUAUUAUAAUGACACUAUAAUUUUAGACAAAGGUAAAUUCUUGCUUAUGAGAUUCGUCACUCUAAAUUUAUAUAUUCACAUUCUAGUAACUGCUCAGUGGAAGCGCUUACCGAUAAGCAAUGAUGAGCCUCCUCCACCUCGAGCUUACCAUACAAUGACUAGUAUUGGAGCUCGUCAUCUUUUAAUUGGUGGUUUUGAUGGAAAAUCAACCUUCGGUGAUCUUUGGUGGUUGGUUCCUGAAGGUAUCUUUCUCUUAUUUUAUACUGAUGUUUUAGUCCAACUUAGCUAUCGUUCUGUGUACACGCAUCAUCAGUUACUUAUAGUUGGAAACUCUUUAGGCAAUUGUAGAGACACUUAAUUUCUAGCAUAAUCUUUUUUUUUCUUCUUUAUCAAGUUUGUAUUGAAAGUUUUGAAGUUUUACUGAACUGUUUAGCCUUCUGAAAAUGUUGUUAUUCGUUUUUUUUCUUUUUUUCUUUUCUCAGAUGAUCCCAUAGCCAAGAGGUCUUCCGUACCUCAACUUAGAAACCCUCCUGAGACUAAAGAGUCAGAGAGAGAUUUGGAUACGGUAACUGUGGUUCCUGCUCAUCAUCUUAUGUGUUUCUCGCCAAUGCAGUUAAAUUAGCUUUUCAACGUGUUUUAACACCAAGAGUUUGGUCACAGCAGGAAAGAGGACAAGAGGGAUUCACUAUCGUCGACUUGCAAAAGAAAAUGGGAAUCUCUGUUGCAUCAGGGUUACUACGCCGUCAUAUCCCCGAGGAGUCAGAAGAUCAAGAGUUCGUUGAGUUAGGAACCAGAUUGAUUGAGGGAGAUGUAAUUGAUAAUCGAACCUCCAUGAUUCAGGUUAAUUUUUCCUCUUGUCUUUUUCAGGAUGUGUGAUUGUGUUAUUCUUGUACUGAAAAUGCUUCUCAACGAUUAGAUGGCAGCUGAAGCACUUCGUCAACAUUGGAAAGAGUCCACUCCUGAGACUUUGCAGUUAAAAGAGCUUAAUGCCUUGCUUCGAGAUUAUCAGCGACUUGUUUCCCGAAAAUACACGUGAGUUCUUACAUUAUCUUGUUUAUGUAGAUUAUCUUUUAUUUCAAUAAAAAUGGUUGUUCUUUGAUUGCGCUUGGAAUGGCAUUAGAAUAACUUAGAUAAAUCUCCUGAGAGUUUAGGAGUGUUAUAUAGAGUUAAUAUCAAUAUCAUUUUUUGUGUCUUGAAUAGCCCUUGAGACUUUUUAAUCCAAGAAUUGCCAAAACUGAUUCAUUUCUUAAUGUUGUGCAGUCCUCACAUAAAAGUUGAUUGUAAAUGCAUCGCUUUGUACCCCUUUGAAAAGUAUUAAACAUCAUGAAAUUUCACAUUUGAUUCUUCCUUUCCGUCACACAUGUUUGUUUUCGUUGUUGUGGCGUGAGUCUCAGAGCACAGAGCAGCUUAACAUCUACUGAUUUUGGCCUCCCCGGAAAGCAGACGUUUACGUUUUAUCAUAUCAAAACUUCUUCCGAGGUAAUACCACAUACUUUCCUCCUGUUAUGAGCUCUCUUGAACAUUUGACAGCAAUCAAUCAACACAUCAGGCUCUUGGCACAUGCUCUGACAUGUCAAUUUAACAUUUUGUUAUUCUCAGUUACGGAUGGAUGACAUCCCGAAGUUGCUGGAAGAAUACAAAACCCUUGUAAUCUGAUUGAGGAGCUCUGCCAUGAAACUCACAAGGAGAAUACAAAACUCAUCAAGUAGCUGCCAAGAAGAUCACCAAGAUUGCUAUCAGCACUACCAUUGCAAACAACAAAACUAAAAAAAGUCUCAACAGAAUCAUAUAUCUGAUAGACAACAAGACAUGUACAACUUCUUUUUAGUCAAGAACAAAAACAUGUACCCAUAUGUAAGAUUUUCCAUUAUCUCCACUUAAUCCGUAUCUCAGCGUCUGCUCUUUAUUUUUCUAGCCUCUUGCAUUUUACUUUGAAAAUAGAUUGAUUUGCCUUGAAGCUAAUGUUCGAACCCCGAUCCAUCUUUGAGCAACUGUUUUAGUUCCGUGUCUAGGAGACCAGUGUUCUGCACUAUCGAAUCUUGGUCUCCUACUUGAGAUGUGAUGCUUCCAUACAAUGUCCAGCCACUGGCGUUGCCUAGUAAUUAAUAUCAUCUCCACCAUAUCAAUAUUUGCUGCAUCCCCUCCUCCAUAAGAAACAUAAAAUAUAAAAGUUAGGUAGCUCUAAAACACUUCUGAUCAUAACAAAAAUUAAGAUCUAAACCACACUUGAUGAUUACGUAAGUUUGUUCGUAAUUUUUACCAAUCUUUGGUAUGAGGAACUGGAGAAAAGAUUCCAAAUAGACUGAGGAAGAAGGACAUGCAGAUUUCAGAGAUUUGAUAGUUUGGUGUCAAGGCCACAAAGCAUCAAGCUUGUUAACAUGUCGUAGUAGUAGAACCAGAAGAACUUGACCACAGUACGGUCGUAUCCUAUCAUUGAGUAAAGGAUUAGAGUAUGUAAACUCUAGUUUGAAUGGUGUCAUACUACAUGAUCUAAUAACUUUGUCUAUAUUACCAAUUUUCCCAAUUAAUUAUUUCUAACGAAAAUAUAAUGUAUAAAUAUCAAUGAAUAUAUUUUGAAAGUUGAAAAUAAGAGAGAAAUUUUUUUUUACCAAAAAGAAUAAUAAGGGAGAAACUAUAGUGAAUGUUUCGAGUGGGCCUAAAGCAAAUGCAUUAUUGCCUUGCGAAAAAAUCAUUAUCGCCAGAGACUAGAAAAAAACUCCUAUUUUCUUUUUAAUUCAAAAUUAGAACCACAAGAUGACUGUCAUAGACUGUCGAUACUCUUUCAUUAUUUUUUCUUCCAAAGAACGUCGCUAAGCAAGUUGCAGAUCUGUUACAUGUAAGGUAAAUCACGUUCUUGUAUCAUUAUUUGUCUGUUUAACUUGCUCUGAUCUGUCUUUUGGGCUCUGUGGUGGUUGAAUCUGAAUUUAAAAACAAAAAUUCGUUGCAUUGUUACAAAUCUUGUUUUACGAAUUUAAAGCAUUUAAUCAUCAAUGCUUGAAUAAAAGUAAGUUAAGUAAAGUUCCUCUGACAGGUAUCAUGUUUUAUUAGAUCAACCAAGGAUUAUCAUAACCGGUUUUAAAUCUUACUAUACAAGUUUGUACUCAUAUGUUGACGGUGGAACAGGAGAAUAGCGAUGGCUGAGGGAAUUGUAUCGUUUGGAGUGCAGAGACUCUGGGAGCUCUUGGCUCGAGAAUCUGAGAGACUGCAGGGAGUUCAUGAGAAAGUUGAUGAUCUAAAAUGUCAGAUGAGAAUGUUACAGUCGUUGUUGAAAGAUGCAGAUGCCAAGAAACAUGGGAGUGAAGUAGUGAGAAACUUCUUGGAAGAUGUCAAAGACAUUGUUUUUGAUGCUGAAGAUAUAAUUGAAUCCUUUCUUUUGAAAGAAUUGAGUGGAAACCAAAAAGGGAUCAAGAGGCAUCUGAAAAGACUUUCUUGUUUCUUAGUGGAUCGCCGAAAUAUUUCUAUGGACAUUGAAGGCAUAACUAAGAGAAUGUCCAAGCUUGUCGAGCAAAUGCAGAGCUUUGGAAUACAACAGAUCGUCUACAGAUCACCGUCUCUACAAGAGAGACAGAGGGAAAUCCAACAAACAUAUCCUGAGAAAUCUCAAAAGGAUCUUGUGGCCGUGGAACAGAGUGUUAAGGAACUGGUUGGUCAGUUGGUGGAGAAUGAUCGCAUCCAAGUAGUUUCCAUAUCCGGGAUGGGUGGUAUUGGAAAAACCACUCUUGCGAGACAAGUCUUUCAUCAUGACAUUGUUCGAAGUCAUUUUGAUGGAUUCGCGUGGAUCUGCGUUUCGCAAGAUUUUAAGCGGAAGGAUAUUUGGCAAAAGUUAUUGCAAGACCUUAGACCACAUGAUAAGGGCAUCGAACAUAUGAAUGAGAAUACACUCCAGGCUGAGCUCUUUCACUUGUUGGAGACAUCUAAAUAUUUAAUUGUCAUGGAUGAUGUAUGGAAAAAAGAAGACUGGGAUAUAAUAAAACACGUUUUCCCCCAAGAAAGAAGAGGUGAGCUCUCUAAUUGUACAUACAUUACUUAAGAACUCUCCAUAGCUAUUUCAUAAAUACCUUUUCAGUCUCUGAGAUGAAAGGAAAUACAAUUGCAGGUUGGAAGAUGAUUCUUACUUCACGUGAUGAAAGUGUUGGUUUCCAUGCAGACCGAACAUGUUUUCCCUUUAGACCAAAAACUCUUACUCCUGAAGAAAGUUGGAAGCUAUGUGAGAGCAUAGCAUUCCCUAGAAGAGAGAUAACAGGUACGUUUUUAAUACAAGAAUCAUAUGAAUCAUUAAGGCCAAAAAGCAUGAUAUCUCUUACAUGCCUUCUUAUAAAAAAACUUGUGUAGUAAUUCCCAAAUUAUCGUCUCUGGAAUGACAUACACUAAAAACUCUAUAAAUUAAUAAUACUAAAACUAUGAAAUUUUAUUAAUUUAUAGAAUUACUAAUUUUUUCAAAGUUUCAGUUUUAGAUUUUUUUUACACUAUUUUUAUUAUAAAAACUAGGUAAGGAACCCGUGCGAUAUCGCACGGGAACUCAUUUUAUAAAUUGAUAGUAAAGAUAUACACAUUAAAAAAUUAUGCAGAAUUUAAAUUAUUAUCUUGAACUUAUUUUAAUAAGAUUACAAAUAUGUCACGUUGUGGAAUUUAUACUUUUGUAUAAAACAUCUUAUUGUGCUAUCAAAAAAAGUUCAUGUGACAUUAAUGUAAAACUAAAAUAAGGAGAAAAUACAUAUCUUUUGAUUUUCCAUAAAAUUAAAAAAAUAUAUAAUAUAAGUAAAUUGAGAAAUAACCACAAACCAUAUCAAUAAAAGUAUUCAAAAUGAAAAGACACAUAGUUUCAUAUAUCAUAUAUUGUUUUACUGAAAAUAUUUGUCAAAUAACUUAUUAGUGACAAUAUUUUAUUUGUUUCAAUUAUUGUUAUACCAGCCAAAAUAGAACUAAUUAUAUAUUAAUUUACUUUUUAUAGUAACAAUAAACUCUUGACUAACAAAACUUUCACUAAAAUGACAGUAGGACAUUGUCUUCAGCCUCAUUGUCAAUUUUAUUUUCAUGUAUACUAUAUUUAAUAUCAAUUUUCUUUAAAAUAAAAUUAUCAUUUUAUGUAUUCAGAAUAACUAACAAGUUACAAUAGAUUUAACUAAUUCAGUUGGUUAUUUAAUAGAAUCUUUGAAAUAUAUUUGUUAACAUUAUAAAAGACUAUGUAUAUGAACCAUCAUAGGGAAUCAACUUUACUCAAUAUAUAUAUAUAUAUAUAUAUAUAAUAACUUUAAUGUUCUGUUUAUAUUUUAUUAGAAUAAAUAUUGUUUACAACUAUGCCUCCAUCUUUUUAAGUUUAUUCUUAUAGUUUUACAUGAUAUUUAGCUCCAACAACUUCUUGAACUACUUUCAAUUAUUUUCCGUGAUAUUUAAAUAAUUUUUCCUAUUUAAGAGACAAUAUUAGAAUUAUCAGUUUGUAGUAUAUUAAGAAAAUUUAUAUUUCUAUGUUGGUAAAAAUAGUUAUUAUUUUUAUAAAUUUAUUUACCUGCUCUAUUUUUGGGAAAAAUAUUAAGGAGAUUGGAUAUCAUAAUAAAUAUAUGUUGACUUAAGUUGAUAUGACAUUUCUCACUUAUAUUAUUUCCUUUAAUUUCCGGAAGAGUUCUUAUAAAACACCAGCACUUAUUAUAUUAAAACUAACAUAAUAAUUAUGGAUUUAAAUCAUGAUGACUUUUGUUGUAUCAAUAAAUAAUAUUUUUGAAGUCAAGGUUGUAUUGAGAUAUAAAUACUGUAGAACUCUAUCGGUUUCUCAAUCAAAUUUCCAAGCUUAGACUAAGAUAUAAGAAUAACAAAUAGAGCUAUGCAUGUUCAUAUGUAUUUGUUCAAAAAUCUUUGAAAAUAAUUUAACAGUGAAUCUCUAUCUUUUCUAAUCUAUAGAUUGUUGUCAUUUUUUUUGUGAUUUUUCUAUUCCCACAACAACUUAUAUAGAUGACUAAAGGUUACAAUGGUUGAUACCAAACAUUGCAAUGGUUAGAUAAUAGUUGCAAUAAUUAACAUCAGAAGUUACAAUGGAUUAUCACCAAAUACUACAAUCACUAACAUUGCAAUGAUUUAUUACCAAAGAUUGCAUUGGUUCUUCACUAAAAUUAUUGUCACCAACAGUUGCAGCGAUAUCUUUAGACAUUUUGAUAACUUUUUUUAACAAAUAAAAAAAUUUAGGAUGAAAAACACAUCCUUAUACAUUUUAACAACAUCUUUUAAACCAAUUUAAUUCCUAAAAUGAAAGUAACAUUUUUAAGAUGAAAGGAUCCAUACUUAUAUUUUUUACAAUAUUUUUUGAAGAACGCAAUUUUUAAUAUGAAAAGACACAUUGUUAAGAUCAAAAAUUAUAACCAUUGAUAUUUAUUUGGAGAAAAUAUACAUUUUUACACAUUUUGAUAAUUUUUUAACAAAUGAAAAUUUAGGAUGAAAAGACAUAUUUUAUACGUUUUAGGAACUUACUUUAAACCAAUGCAAUUCUUAAAAUGAAAUGACAUAUUAUUAAGAUGAAAAGUUACAUACUUAUAUAUGUGACAACAUUUUUUAAAGUAGUGUCAUUUUUAAGAUGAAAAGACACUUCGUUAGGAUGAAAAGUUACAACCUUUGACAUUUAUUUGGAGAAAAUAUAUAUUUUUAGACGUUUUGACAACUUUUAUUAAGAAAUACAGUUUUUUUUAGGAUUAAAAGAUACAUCUUUAUACAUUUUAACAAUUUCUUCAAAACAAAUGCAAUUCGACAAUGAAAAGACACAUUGUUAAGAUGAUAAUAUUUUUACUUAUAUAUUUGACAACAUUUUUUUAAAGCAAUGCCAUUUAAAUGAAAAAUAAUACUUUGUUAGGAUGAAAAAUUACAACAUUUAACAUUUAUUUUUUAACAAAUGCAAUUUGUAGGAUAAAAAGACACAUCCUUAUACAUUUUAACAACUUCUUUUAAACCAAUGCAAUUCUUAAAAAUGAAAAGACAUACUUUUAAGAUGAAAAGAUACAUACUUGUAUUUUUUUAGGACAUUUUUUAAUAAGAUAAAAAGACACUUUGAUAUAAUGAAAAGUUACAAUUUUUGACAUUUAUUUGGAUAAACCACAUCUUUAGACAUUUUGACAACUUUUUUUAAUAAAUGCAAUUUGUAUGAAACUUAUACUUAUACACUUUGACAAUUUCUCUUAACCCAAUGCAAUUUUAAAAAUAAAAUAAAAUGUACUAAUAUAUUUUAACGACACUUUUAAAACAAUGCUCUUUUUAAGAUGAAAUGACACAUAAUUACAAAGAGACACUUUUUGAGAUAUUUUAAUAAUUUUUUAAAAAAUUAUCUUAUAUAAUGAGAAGACACAAUUUUAAAACUAAUAUUUAUAGAAAAACACUUAUUAGGAUAUUUUAACAAAUUUUAAACUAAUAAUUUUACUUAUAGUCUAAGAAAUUCAACCUAUAAUAGUUUUGAUCUUGAGACUUCUAGUUUACAGAUGUGUAAACCAGUAAAUAGCCAUUUAAAUUUAAUUGAAUGCAAGACAAGAUUGAUAAAAGUCAACUACUUAUGUUCGCUAAAUAUCUUGGAAAAAGGUUCUAAAUUUAAAUUGUUAUUUUCCUAUAUAUACGUAACGACACAAGUGAUAAAAGAUGCUACUUUUGAUAAAUAAAUGGUCAUUAACGAAAUAUAGAUGCAAAUAACUAAAAAUAAAUAAAAAAUUUGUCAGAUUUGUUUGUUGUCAAAGAAAUUGUAAGAUGUGUUUUGCCUUUAGUUUUCGUUAAGAAUUGAAUAUAUUUAAAACUCUAGACUUUUACAUCAUAUUUGUUUGUCUCUAACCAACAAUUGAUAUGUUUCCGAGAAAUAAUAUAUAAAUAAAAAGAUCUUUUAAUGAGUUUUAUAAUCUCAGUAGUUCGCACAUCUCCAAACCAGGCAGUAGAAAACAAUGUAAAUUUGCAAUUCAUGAGUGGACAAUUAUAUUAUUUUGUGAACAAUUAUAUUGACAUGGGGGAUUCCUAAGUUUAAAAUGUGACACCUAUGCAGAUUUAAAUAUUCCAGUGGAAUUAAACCAUUCCCAUUAAAAAGAAAUUGAUGAUAAUUCCCACGAGAAUAACACUCUCCAAUUAAGAGACACAUUGUUUGAUUAACUCAUGACGGUCAUCACCAACCGGUUUUCCUCUAAUAGAUUUACUGAAUGACAGACAACCCAUUUUUUGUACAUCGUAAUUUGGAAAGCAUUAAUCUUAGACUCUGACAAAACGCAAGAACAACAACACAUAUAAAUUAGAUAUGUUGUAACAACUAUUAAAAAAAUUGAAUGAUGGAAAUCCUAAAUUUGUUUAAAGAAAAUGACGUUGAUAGUGGUUUUUGAAAAAAAAUAUAUGGGAUUAUGAUGAACAAUAACAAUGAAAACUCAUUGUAAACACGCUUUAGAGAGCAAAACAAAUAAAUCAAUUCUGAGAUUUUGGGUGGAAAGGUAAUUUAAGAGGAGAUGGAAAACGAUAACAGGAAUGAGUCUUUAAAAACACACACAUAUAUAUAGAUUGAUAAGGAAUGCUUCAUCUCAGAGUUGUAUUGUUUUGAGAUGGAGACUAUUCGGUGAAAAGAUGCAACACACCGCAGUUUUGUUUUUUUAUAUCAUUAAAUUCAAUCAAAUAUGACUGUUGGACUUAAAACUUUUUUCUUUUAAAAAGUGAUAAUAUCACCAGUUUUGGUAUGCUAUUAUAUAUAUAAUUUUUAAUAAUGAAAAGAUACAAUUUUAAAAAUUAAUAAUAUUCAGUUUGUUAUGAAAAUAUACAAUUUUUAUAAUGAACAUACACAAUUUUUCAAACUAAUACAUUUCAGUUUUUCUUAUGAAACAACACAACCAAAGUAGUUAUUUUGAAAAGACACAAUUAUUUAGAUUUUUAGAAAAUACACAACUUUUCAACAUAAAUGAGUUUCAUAACCUUUGGAAUUAAUCAGGAUUGCUAUUAUUAGUAGAUAAAAUACUUGAUUUUAUCAUAUAUAUAUAUAUAUAUUAAUUAACUUUUAGAAAUCCGACAUUUAUAUUGUUUUUGUUACACUAUUUGGUGUAUACAAAAUAUGUUUUAUAGAAUUUAAAAUUUAUUUUUAUAUAUAAUUUUACGAAAUAUUAUCAAAAUAUAUUGAAAUAUUAAGAAAAAAUAGAAAUGAACUUCAUUGUGAAUAUAAAACAAAUAAUACAAUGUUUAAUGUUUGUACUUUAGUGUGUUUAUUAAUUAUUGAAUUUUUUACUGCAUAUUGUUAUAAAUAUAUAUAUUUUAAGAACAUUUGACAAGACUAAACACAUUAUUAUUUCAAGACUCUGAUCUUAUAACGUGUGUUACUAUUUUCAGAAUUUGAUGUUGAUGAGGAACUAGAAGCCAUGGGUAAGGAAAUGGUGGCAUAUUGUGGAGGACUACCAUUAGCCGUUAAAGUGCUGGGAGGCUUGUUAUCUAAUAAAACCAUGGUUGAAGAGUGGAAAAGAGUAGAUGACAAUAUUCAAAGUCAGAUAGUUCGCAUAGAUGACAAAAGUCAAGAUUCUGUUUACCGAGUAUUGUCUAUGAGCUAUGAAGAUUUGCCAACGCAGUUAAAGCAUUGUUUCCUCUACCUAGCUCAUUUUCCCGAAGAUGACAAGAUACAAGUGGAGAGAUUGUAUUAUUAUUGGGAAGCAGAAGGAAUAAUAACGUCAAGUGGCGAUGGAGAAACCACUAGGAAAAUUGGAGAAGACUACAUAGAGGAGCUAGUAAGGAGAAAUAUGGUUAUUGGAGUAAAAGAGGAAUUGAGUUGCAGAUGGGAGUAUUGUCAAAUGCAUGACAUGAUGAGAGAAGUAUGUUUAUAUAAAGCCAAAGAAGAGAACUUUCUUCAGUUUAUCAAAGUCCAUACUUCUUCCACCUCUAACAUCAAUGCUCAUACUCCUACCAGAUCUCGCAGACUCGUAGUACACGGUGGUGGUAGUGCACUUGAUAUGCUGUUAUGUAAAAGCAAUCAAAAAGCUAGAUCUGUUUUGGGUUUUGGACUCGACAGCAACUUGUGGAAGCAGUCAGGUCAAGGACUCAGAAAUUUACUUUUACUUAGGGUCUUAGAUUUAAGUUUAGAAGAUAAAAGCGACUCUAGAGGAGGGAGAAUACCAUCCAGCAUUGGAAAGCUCAUUCAUUUGAGAUAUUUGAGCUUAGACAUGGGUAGUGCAACUGAUGUACCUUCUUCUUUACGGAAUCUAAAGCUUCUAAUCUAUUUGAGUAUUUACUCCAAUGAAAGAGUUCAUCUGCCAAGUAUCUUUAAAGAGAUGGUAGAGUUGAGGUUCCUGGCGCUUCCCCCUCUUAUUGACGCUAAAACAAAGUUGGAAUUGGGUAAUCUUGUGAACCUGGAGUGCUUGACCGGCUUCCGAUCAGAAAACGGUAGCAUCACAGACUUCCUCCGAAUGAAAAAGCUCAGGAAUCUCGAGAUACAUCUCAAAGGCAGGUAUACUUCUGAAAUUCUAGCGUCAUCUCUCUGUGAAUUAAGAAACCUGGAGGUGCUUAGCUUGAUCGAUGAGUACCGAUCCGGUGGGGCUUAUGAUGUGGAUUUCGUUUGGAAUUUCAUUAAGCUAAGGCAUUUAGGGCUGAGCAUACAUGUGACAAGGCUUCCUGAUCACUCUCGAUUUCCUCCCCACCUUGCACACAUAUCUCUAUGUUUCUGUGAAUUGGAGGAGGAUCCACUGCAGAUUCUGGAAAAGUUGCUUCAUUUAAAGUCGGUUGUAUUACAAUACAGAUCUUUCGUGGGGAGGAAGAUGGUGUGUUCAAAAGGUGGAUUCCCUCAAUUAUGUAAGCUAGACAUAGUGUCCCUAUACGACUUGGAAGAGUGGGUAAUCGAAGAAGGGUCGAUGCCAUGUCUUCGUACCUUGGAAAUAUGGUAUUGUGAAAAGUUGAAGGAGCUACCGGAAGGGCUCAAGUAUAUCACUUCUUUAAAGGAACUGGAUAUCGCACAUAAGAACAAGGAGUGGAAGACGAAACUCGUACCAGGUGGGGAAAGUUACCACAAAGUCCAACACAUUCCUAGUGUUCAAUUACACUAUCAUAGCGACGACUCUGAUAUUGACGAAUAAGGAGAAUACAACCGUCUCAGGUAUAAUAUUCUUUUUGGUAUAAUGUCAAUAUUGUUCAUUUUGUUUGUUAUGUAUCCUCCUUGAAGUUUAGUGUGAAAGUCUAAACAGCUGUUAUUCGGUUUUCAGGUGAACCUACUCAGGAUCAGUACCCACCACUAUCGAUUGUGUGAUGUGAUAAUAAGUCGUUUUUGUUGUAUUGGUGUAUGAAGUUUACAUAUCUUGUUUGUGAUAUAUUCCGUUUAUCUGUUUGCAUGCUCAUUCACUGUAAUACUAAGUUUGAAAUACAUUAUUUGUAUGUUGAACCAUAUCUUCUUCGAUGUCUCCGUUGUGUGUGCUUCGUUGAUUUGUUUAGUCCGAACUGGAGAUAGAAUGGUGCUUUGAUAGUGUGAUCACUGAACAUCAUUCUUAACACGAUUUUAUCAUUUGGUUUAACGAAGGUCAAGAUAUUGAGGGAACCCUGAGUUUUCCAAAAAUUUUAAGUAACAAGAGAAACCGGUUAAUUCCAAUCCAGUUCUGUAAUUUGUCUGUCACUACCAAACCGGACCAUAUUGAUGGUUUAAAAACAAAGCUCGGUCUGGAUUAUAAUAUCAAAGAUUAAACAAAGAGUCCUUUCGAUCUCUGCAAAUUUGUUUUGACUCUGAAGAGGAGAAGAAGUGUACUUUCAAUCGCCAAGCGUAUGCAUAACUGGGUUAGAGCUUCCUCAUCCGAUUUCACCGGAACUCCUCCACAGCCCAGGAGGUAAAUUAAUUACUUCUUCUCCAUUCAAUUUUCGAUUUUAAUUUCAGCUGAUGUUUUUUAUUCUUCAUCAGUGGACAUACAGCUGUCAAUGUCGGAAAAUCCAUGGUCGUGGUGUUCGGCGGCCUCGUCGACAAGAAGUUCCUCAACGACAUCAUUGUUUAUGACAUUGGUAAUAUCAUACUUUAGCCUUAGGAUUAUUGUUUCCUUGCUUCAAGAAAGAUGCUUUCUUUCUCACGAGUUACGUUCUUGGCUUGCUCUGUUUGUAAUGACUAUUGUCUCUAGUAGUUUAUUUGAUAGAACGAUGCUUACAUCAAAGAUAGUUACUUUGCAACAAAAAAAAAAAACUAUAGAAAGCUGAAAACUUCAAGAUGAGAUUAUUCGAUUCGGUGUUGUUGAAGAGGAAUCAGAUGGAUACUCUCUUUUCUUAUUUUGCUAGUUUUUGUUUCUGAGCUUCUUUUGUCCCCUCCUUGGCCUUGUUUUAAGUAUCAUACUAGAUCUUGACCCGCACACCCGUGCGGAUGUAUUUAAAAAAAAAAAUAUGAUAUAUGAUGUUAUUUGCUUUUUAUGUCACUAUUUAGGGUUGGGCAAAAACUCAAAUUCGAAAAAUCAAACCGAUCCGAUCCCAAUCCAAAUAAGUAGUACUAAAUCCGAACCAGAAUUGAUUAAAUAUCCGAAUUAUUCAAAAUUUUGGUAUUUGAAGAAUUGAAACCUAAUCCGAUCUGAACCGAAUUAUUUUUAAUAUAUAUAAAAACGUCCAUAAUAUAUAUACAACUAAUUAAACGUAAAUAUCUUAAAUAAUUAAAAAAUACUCAAAUCUCCAAAAAUACUUAAAUAAUUAUUAAUUCUCUAUCCAAAUAUUUAAACCAAACCUAUUUAAAUUGGUUAUCCAAAUCAGAACCAAAUCCUCAAAGAUCUGAACUGAACACGAAAUCCCAAAAAGACCCGAAAACGAACCCGAACGCCCACCCAUAAUCACUAUUAUAUAUAUAUAUGUUAUCAUAGGUUACAAAAUAUGUGUUAUCAUAUAAUUAAUCGUAUUUUAUACGUACCAUCAAAUAAGUUUUCUUAUAAUUAAUAAUAUUUUAUACGUACAAUCAUAUAAAUAAUCACAUAUAUUAUAUUUUAAAAUUUAAUGUGAAAUAUAAAAACCAUAAUUUAAGUUGGUGUUUGAAAUUGGGCUUUGUAUUGUAUUAUUAUUAAAUAUAUUGAAAACAUUUUUAUAAUAGUUACUGGAAAAUAUGUUAGUAAAAAUCAAAUUUUGAAUAUAUGUAUAUUUUUGAAUGAAUUUUUGAUAUAAAUCAAUUUUAAGUUAUUACUUUGAUUUGAACAUAUAUAUCAAGUAACAUAUACCUAUUAGUUUUUAAUAUAAUGUAAUGGACUUUCAAUUUUUUUAAGUAGCAUAAGCCCAUUAUCUUUUUUUCUAACUUACUAUUAUCCAUGUUUUCAAUUUUAACUACUAUCCACAUUACCAAACAAUCCCAUUUUGUACUUGAGUUUUAAUAAGAUAGAUGUUCAGCUUUUUUAAUCAUGUGAUAAUUGGUGGUCUUAUGAUUUGCUUCUUCUUUAAUCCUGUCGACUAGAAAACAAACUCUGGUUUGAGCCAGAAUGUACUGGCAGCGUAUCUGAAGGAAAAGUUGGUCCUACACCUCGCGCCUUUCAUUUUGCCAUCACUAUUGAUUGUCAUAUGUUCAUCUUUGGUGGACGUUCUGGUGGCAAGAGGUACGCACUACUAUUUAUUUGCUAGCUGUAAGCGUUUUUACAUUCUAAAUAGCUUAUUUCUAUAAAUCAAUUUCAGGUUGGGUGACUUCUGGGUUCUAGAUACUGGUAAGUGUGCUUCGGAGUUUUUAUUUCUCUGCUUUGGCACUUCUAUGAGACACCUAUUAAUGACAUUUUCUGCAGAUAUAUGGCAGUGGUCUGAGCUAACCAGCUUUGGCGACUUACCUACGCCUCGUGAUUUUUCUGCUGCCGCUGCUAUUGGCAACCAGAAAAUUGUGUUGUGAGUAUCAUAAAUUUUAGACGUUCCAUCAGCUUGUUGCCUGCAUUGGCUUAACCUAUGACCAUUGGCAGGUGUGGCGGCUGGGAUGGUAAAAAAUGGCUGUCAGAUGUGUAUGUUAUGGACACAAGUAAAACACUUUAUACCUCUCGUCUACUUCAGUUUUGUGAUAAAACUUGUUUUAAGUUUAUGAUAAUGUCAGCUUUUCUUGGUAUUUGCUAGUGUCUCUUGAAUGGAUGGAGCUGUCAGUUUCGGGGUCGUUGCCGCCUCCUAGAUGUGGUCAUACAGCCACCAUGGUUGAGAAGCGUUUACUUGUUUUUGGUGGCCGAGGUAAUACCAAAAUUAAAAAAAAACUGUAGAUUCUUGAUGUUGACUUAUCGCCAUUCCUUUAAUAAGUUAAGGUGUUUGCAUACUAAACCAAUCACCACAACUGAGGAGUGUUCUUGGCGGACUCGCAUUAUGGAUAAAAUUCAAAACUGAAUGAUUUAUUUGCUAUUUUACUUUUUUCAUUCAUCAAACAUGUUAAGGAUGCUGAUGUGUUUGGUUUACCCGUUGCUGUUAAUUAAUAACUUUCAUUUAUUAACGAAGUUUCCUGACCGGGUGUACUGAUGGUAUAUGUUCACAAGAAGUUUUGCUUGAGCUGAUAACAAGUAAACUGAGACUAUGGUGUGUGAUAUGGUUAUCUUUGACAGGAGGUGGUGGCCCUAUCAUGGGUGAUCUGUGGGCUUUGAAGGGUCUAAUAGAUGAAGGUGCAUCCUUGAUUAAAUUACUUCAAAACUGCAUUGGAUCUUAUUCUGGGUUUACCUUUGUUGUGCAAGAAAGAGCGUGAAACACCUGGAUGGACACAACUCAAGCUUCCUGGCCAAGCACCAUCGUCUCGAUGUGGUCAUACGGUUACAUCCGGAGGACAUUACGUAAGUCUUUUCCAGCUCAUGUUUGCUCUUUUGUAUAUGAAUGGCUUCGCGGGACAUACAUCACUCACAUCAUUAAUUUCCAUGUAUGAAGCUUCUGUUAUUUGGGGGACAUGGAACUGGUGGAUGGCUGAGUCGAUAUGAUGUCUAUUAUAAUGACACUAUAAUUUUAGAUAGAGGUACAUUCUUGCUCACUCGUCUCAUUAGCUUCGUCUCCUCUGCUAAAGGAUCACUGGAAAUCUAAAAUCCACCUAAUCGAAGUAUAAUCUAGUGAGAUGAGAAAAUUGUGAUGUAAUUCAUCAGUUUUAUUGCUGUGCAUUGUCUUGUACGCGCUGUUGCUAAAUUUAUGCGUUGUUGCUAGUAACUGCACAGUGGAAGCGCUUACCAGUAAGCAAUGAUGAGCCUCCUCCUCGGUGUGAAGUUUCAGUUCUACGAAGGCUCUGGUCUUGGUGGUGUUGUCAGGCUGCGGUGGAGGGCUUAGCGUUUCUCUUCGGUGUCGAGGAGGUCUCUCUCCCUCUCUCUUCUGUCGUGUGAGCUCUGGAGGUUUCCGCUUCCUCGGAGAUGAGUCGUGGGUUGAGGUAUGCAGUAGGAGAUGGUGCCUCAGUCUAGUUCCGAUUUCCAAGGGUUCUGUGGGUUGCUUGGAAGGAGUCUUCUAUGGUUUUAUUCACGGCAUCUCAACGUCUCUCAUCACUGGAGAUCUUCCCUGCUUGGUUCUCGUUCUGAUUCUUCUGGUGAAUGGCGACGGUCCUCUUCAUCAAAUGCUUGUCCUUGUUCUUCAUGUUUCUUGCUUUCUGUUUGACACCGGAAUGUGACACAGGGAGUCACAGGAAAUUGCUCUCGGUUCUCGAUAGCAGCAAGCGUCGAUUUGUUUUGAGCGUGUGCUCUUUGCCUAUUGGUGUCAAUGCUUGGCCAAUUAGCAAGCGUCGAUUUGGUUUGUUCUUCUGUGGCAGUGUGAGCUGGCUAUAUUUCUGUGCAGGUUCGGAUACUGUAUCAGACGAAAUGUGGUGGCGUUUGCAAGCCCGCCUUUUGGAUCCUAAUUGGUGAUGGAGGGGAGUGUACAGUCCGAGUUCUUGGCGUCGUCACUCAGGUGAAAUGUCCGAAACUCCCUCUGUUUCCAUCGUCAAACGCUUCAUAGACAGUGACAGUUAUAAGCUGGAGUUCAUCGGGAACCAGCUACUCCGUGGACAAAAUGGAAAGUCCCAGCGCAUCCGAAGCAAUAAGGACCGAGACAAUAAGGAAAACCUCACCUUCUCGUGAUCUUCGUCGAUGGUUGAUGUUUGAGAAUGGUAACCAUUCCAAAGAAUUCCAAAAAACGAAUCAACGGAAUGUAUCAUGUUUAGUGGACGGAAAAAGCUAAUUUUGUAAUAGUUUGAGUUUGAAAAUUUUGUACAAAACAGACUUGUAACCAGAUCUGAAUUUCCGAUCCUCAGGUCAAAUUAAUAUAUAUUUUAAAAAAGUCUUUAGUAUUGCAAGACGAAGUAUUCAAGGUGUAUAGGUCAUAGAUUGUAGACGAAAUAUUUAUUUAAAUUUUUUAUAUAUCUUACUUAUGGAGGAAACAUCUUAGUUUGGUAGAAUUUUUCCAUUUUAUUGGAGUCAAGCGGAAAACUUGAUCCAAAGACCAUAAAUCGUUUAAGCAGGAAAAGAAGGAUCUACCUCCUAAGCAAGUUGCAGAUCUGUUACGUGAAAGGUAAAUCACGUUCUUAUAUCAUUAUUUUUCUGUUUAACUUGCUUUGAUCUGUCUUUUAGGCUCUGUUGUGGUUGAAUCUGAUUUACAAACAAAAAUUCGUUGGAUUAUUACAAAUCUUGUUUUACGAAUUAAAAGCAUUUACUCUAAUCUUGUUAUAAAGUGUCUGAAUAAUAAGCUAAGUAAAGUUCCUCUGACAGGUAUCAUGUUUUAUUAUAGAUCAACCAAGGAUUAUCAAAAACGGUUUUAAAUCUUACUACAAGUUUGUACUUAUGUGUUGUGUUGAUGGUGGAACAGGAGAAUAGUGAUGGCUGAGGGAGUUGUGUCGUUUGGAGUGGAGAAACUCUGGGAUCUCCUGAGUCGAGAAUCUGAGCGAUUGCAGGGAGUUCAAGUGCAAGUUGAUGAUCUAAAAUGUCAGAUGAGUACGUUACAGUCGUUGUUGGAAGAUGCAGAUGGUAAGAGAUAUGAGAGUAAAGUAGUGAGAAGCUUCUUGGAAGAUGUCAAAGACAUUGUAUUUGAUGCUGAAGAUAUAAUCGAAUCCUUUCUUUUGAAAGAACUCAGUGGAAACCAAAAAGGGAUCAUGAGGCGUGUGAAAAGACUUUCUUGUUUCUUAGUGGAUCGCCGAGGUCUUUCUAUGGACAUUGAAGGCAUAACUAAGAGAAUGGCCAAGGUUGUUGCGCAAAUGCAUAGCUUUGGAAUACAACAGAUCAUCUACAGAUCACCGUCUCUACAAGAGAGACAAAGGGAGAUCCGACAAACAUAUCCAAAGAGAUCUCAAAAGGAUCUUGUGGGGGUGGAACAGAGUGUUAAGGAACUGGUUGGUCAGUUGGUGGAGAAUGAUAACAUCCAAGUAGUUUCCAUUUCUGGGAUGGGUGGUAUUGGAAAAACCACUCUUGCGAGACAAGUCUUUCAUCAUGACAUUGUUCGAAGUCAUUUUGAUGGAUUCGCAUGGAUCUGCGUUUCGCAAGAUUUUAAGCAGAAGGAUAUUUGGCAAAAGUUAUUGCAAGACCUUAGACCACAUGAUAAGGGCAUCGAACAUAUGAAUGAGAAUACACUCCAGGCUGAGCUCUUUCUCUUGUUGGAAACAUCUAGAUAUUUAAUUGUCAUGGAUGAUGUAUGGAAAAACGAAGACUGGGAUAUAAUAAAACACGUUUUCCCCCAAGAAAGAAGAGGUGAGCUCUCUAAUUGUACAUACAUUACUUAAGUUCUCCCCAUAGCCAUUUCUUAAAUGCCUUUGAGUCUCUGAUAUGAAACUAAAUACAAUUGCAGCUUGGAAGAUGAUUCUUACUUCACGCAAUGAAGGUGUUGGUUUGCAUGCAGACCCAACAUGUUUUCCCUUUAGACCAAAAAUCUUUACUCCUGAAGAAAGCUGGAAGCUAUGUGAGAGCAUAGCAUUCCCUAGAAGAGAGAUAACAGGUACGUUUUUAUAUAAGAAUCACAUGAAUCCUUAAGGCCAGAAAGCAUGAUAUCUCUUACUGGUUUUCUUUAUAAAAAAUGGUGUAGUAAUUCCUAAAUAUCCUCUGAGAUGGCAUAUAUUGUUGUAUAUGUAUUUUUUUUUUUUUGAACAUUUGAAAAGACUAGACACCAUAGGGGUGGGAAAAAGCUGACCCAUCCGUACCCAAGCCAAACCAAAAUCUAUGUUUAAAAAAAAGGUGUUUUUAAUUAGAUUAAUUAAAUAUACUAGUAAUAUUAAAAUCUAAUAUAUUUAUCCAUUUAACCUAAACAACUAAAUAUAAUUUAUACAUUUUACUUCUAAAUGAAUAGAAUAAACAUAACUAAAAAUAAAAUAAAAGAAUUUUAUUUUCAUACAUUAACAUUAAAACCGAAAAAUUACCUAUAUUACUUAUAGUAGGUUUAAAGAUAAUAACAUAAAAUUAUUUGGAAACAGAAUAUGAUGUUGAUGAAGAACUAGAAGCCAUGGGUAAGAAAAUGGUCAUGUAUUGUGGAGGACUACCAUUAGCCGUUAAAGUGCUAGGAGGCUUGUUAGCUAAUAAAUAUAUGGUUGAAGAUUGGAAAAGAAUAAAUGAGAAUAUUCAAACUCAGAUAGUUCGCUUAGAUGACAACAAUCAAGAUUCGGUUUACCGAGUAUUGUCUAUGAGCUAUGAAGAUUUGCCAAUGCAGUUAAAGCAUUGCUUCCUCUACCUAGCGCAUUUUCCCGAAGAUUACAAGAUACAAGUUGGGAAAUUGUGUAAUCUCUGGGAAGCAGAAGGAACAAUAACAUCAAGUUGCGAUGGAGCAACCACUAGGAAAAUUGGAGAAGAAUAUAUAGACGAGCUAGUAAGGAGAAAUAUGGUUAUGGCAGUAAAACAGGAUUUGAGUUGCACUUGGGAGUAUUGUCAAAUGCAUGACAUGAUGAGAGAAGUUUGCUUAUAUAAAGCUAAAGAAGAGAACUUUCUUAAGUUUAUCAAAGUCCCUAAUUCUUCCACCUCCACCAUCAAUGCUCAUACUCCUACUAGAUUUCGCAGACUCGUAGUACAUGGUGGUAAUGCCCUUGAUCUGCUGGGACGUAAAAGCAAUCAAAAAGCUAGAUCUGUUUUGGGGUUUGGACUCGACAGCAACUUGUGGAAGCAGUCAGCUCAAGGACUCCGAAAUUUACAAUUACUUAGGGUCCUAGAUCUGACUCUGAGUUUAAAACUACAUGGUAGAAGCAACUCUAGAGGAGGGAGAAUACCUUCCAGCAUAGGAAAGCUCAUUCAUUUGAGAUAUUUGAGCUUAUACAUGGGUUGUGCAACUCAUGUACCUUCUUCUUUUAGGAAUCUAAAGCUUCUAAUCUAUUUGAAAAUUUGCUCUGGGGCAACAGUUUAUCUGCCAAGUAUCUUUAAAGAGAUGGUAGAGUUGAGGUUCCUAUUUCUCCCCUCUUCUUUUGAGGCUAAAACAAAGUUGGAAUUGGGUAAUCUUGUGAACCUGGAGUACCUGACCUGCUUCCGAGCAGAAUACGGUAGCAUCACAGACUUCCUCCGAAUGACUAGGCUCAGGACUCUCUAUGUAUUUCUCAAAGGCAGGUAUACUUCUGAAAUUCUAGUGUCAUCUCUAUGUGAAUUAAGAAACCUGGAGACGCUUAUAUUGAUCGAUGUGAACGAACCCGAUGAGGCUUAUUAUGAUGUGGAUUUCGUUUGGAAUUUCAUUCAUCUAAGGCAUUUAGAGCUGGCCAUACAUAUGCCAAGGCUUCCCAAUCACUCUCGAUUUCCUCCCCACCUUGCACACAUAUCUUUACGUUACUGUAACAUGGAGGAUGAUCCACUGCAGAUUCUGGAAAAAUUGCUUCAUUUAAAGUCGGUUAAGUUAACAGAUUUUUCUUUCGUGGGGAGGAAGAUGGUGUGUUCAAAAGGUGGAUUCCCUCAAUUAUGUAAGCUAGAAAUAUGGGACCUAAACGAAUUGGAAGAGUGGAUAGUCGAAGAAGGGUCGAUGCCAUGUCUUCGUACCUUGUCUAUUCGGUAUUGUAAAAAGUUGAAGGAGCUACCGGAAGGGCUCAAGCAUAUAACUUCUUUAAAGGAACUGUAUAUCAGACAUAAGAACAAGGAGUGGAAGACAAAACUCGUACCAGGUGGGGAAAGUUACCACAAAGUCCAACACAUUCCUAGUGUUCAAUUACACUAUGAUAGCGACGAAUAAGGAGAAUAAAACGGUCUCAGGUAUGUCUUUUUGGUAUAAUGUCAAUAUUGUUCUUCUUGAAGUUUUGUGUGUAAGUCUCAACUAUCUAACCUUUUUAUUAUUCGGUUUUCAGGUGAACCUACUCAGGAUCAGUACCCACCACUACCGAUUGUGUGAUAUGAUAAUAAGUCGUUUUUGUUGUAUGAAGUUUACAUAUCUUGUUUGUGAUAUAUUCCGUAUAUCUAUUUGCAUGCUCAUUCACUGUAAUGCUAAGUUUGAAAUACAUUAUUUGUAUGUUGAACCAUAUCUUAUUCGAUGUUCUCCGUUGUGUGUGCUUAGUUGACUUGUAUAGUUACCGAACCGAACCUGAGUUUUCCAAAUUUGUCUUUUACUACUAAACCGGACAAAUUGAUGGUUUAAAAACAAAACUCGGUCUGGAUUAUAAUAAAAUCAGAUGAUGAGACUCUACCAAACAAGAGAGUCCUUUCGAUCUCUGCAAAUUUGUUUUUGACUCCAAUUAAGAGGAGGAGAAGUCUAUUAGUUGAAGCGAAUACAAAACGCGGUGAUCCGUGCGUUUCAGACAUCAAUCGCCAAACGUAUGCAUAACUGGGUUAGAGCUUCCUCUUCCGAUUUCACGGGAACUCCUCCACAGCCUAGGAGGUAAAUUAAUUACUUCUUCUCCAUUCAAUUUUCGAUUUUAAUUUUAGCUGAUGAUUUUUUUAUUGUUCAUCAGUGGACAUACAGCUGUCAAUGUCGGAAAAUCCAUGGUCGUUGUGUUCGGCGGUCUCGUCGACAAGAAGUUCCUCAACGACAUCAUUGUCUAUGACAUUGGUAAUAAUCAUCAAUUAUAUUCAGCCUAGGAUUAUUGAUUCCUUGAUCCAAAGAAGAUGCUUUUUUUUUUAUUAGUUACUACUGUCUUGGCUUGUUCUUCUUGUAAUGACUAGUGUUUGCUUCUUCUUUAAUUCUGUGGACUAGAGAACAAACUCUGGUUUGAGCCAGAAUGUACUGGCAGCGUGUCUGAAGGAAAAGUUGGUCCUACACCUCGCGCCUUUCAUGUUGCCAUCACUAUUGAUUGCCAUAUGUUCAUCUUUGGUGGACGUUCUGGUGGCAAGAGGUACGCACUUCUAUAUAUUUUCUAGUUAUAAGCGUUUUUACAUUCUAAAUAGCUCAUUUCUGUAAAUCAAUUUCAGGUUGGGUGACUUCUGGGUUCUAGAUACUGGUAAGUGUUCAAGUUAUAACAAUGUCAUUGAGACCUGCAUAGGGAACUUUUUAAUACUCUGCUGCCAACGUUUUCUGCAGAUAUAUGGCAGUGGUCUGAGCUAACCAGCUUUGGCGACUUACCUACGCCUCGUGAUUUUUCUGCCGCCGCUGCUAUUGGGAACCAGAAAAUUGUGUUGUGAGUAUUCAGAAAUUUUAGACGUUCAUCAGCUUGUUGCCUGCAUUGGCGUAACCUAUGAUCAUUGGCAGGUGUGGCGGCUGGGAUGGUAAAAAAUGGCUGUCAGAUGUGUAUGUUAUGGACACAAGUAAGUUUCUGAUAAUGUCAGCUUUCUUGGUGUCUGUUAGUGUCUCUUGAAUGGAUGGAGCUGUCGGUUUCGGGGUCGUUGCCGCCUCCUAGAUGUGGCCAUACAGCCACCAUGGUUGAGAAACGUUUACUUGUUUUUGGUGGCCGAGGUAUAUAACACCAGAACCAGAAUCUUUGUUCUGCUUGAGCUGAUGACAACUAAACUGAGACUAUGGUUAUCUUUGACAGGAGGUGGUGGCCCUAUCAUGGGUGAUCUGUGGGCUUUGAAGGGUCUAAUAGAUGAAGGUUCAUCCUUACUUACAUUUCUUGAAAAUUGCAUUGAAUUAUGUAGAGGAGUAUUCUCUUGAGUUGUCUUUCUUUCUUUUGUUCUGUUUGCUGAUCUUAUUGUGGUUUACCUUUGUUGUGGAAGAAAGAGCGUGAAACACCUGGAUGGACCCAACUAAAACUUCCUGGCCAAGCACCAUCAGCUCGAUGUGGUCACACUGUCACAUCCGGAGGACAUUAUGUAUGUCUAUUUCAGCUUCCGUUUGCUCUUUUGUAUAAAUAGGUUCGCAUGACAUACAUCACUCACAUCAUUAAUUUUCAUGUAUGAAGCUUCUGUUAUUUGGGGGACAUGGAACUGGUGGAUGGCUGAGUCGUUAUGAUGUCUAUUAUAAUGACACUAUAAUUUUAGACAGAGGUAAAUUCUUGCUUAUGAGAUUCGUCACUCUAAAUCCAAAAAUCCACCUCAGUAAUUUACAAUCUAGUGAGAUGAUAAAAUUGUGAUGUGCUUUAUCAUUUUUCUUGCUGAGCAUUGUUUUCUACGCGUUGUUGCUAAAUUUAUAUUUUCACAUACUAGUAACUGCGCAGUGGAAGCGCUUACCGAUAAGCAAUGAUGAGCCUCCUCCUCCUCGAGCUUACCAUACAAUGACUAGUAUUGUUGCUCGUCAUCUUUUAAUUGGUGGUUUUGAUGGAAAAUCAACCUUCGGUGAUCUUUGGUGGUUGGUUCCUGAAGGUAUCUUUCUCUUAUUUAUACUGAUGUUUUAGUCCAACUUAGCUAUCAUUCUGUGUACACGCAUCAUCAGUUACUUAUAGUUGGAAACUCUUUAGACGAACUAAUCUUGGUGUUGGUCGCAGAUUGUAGGCAAUUUUAGAGACACUUAAUUUCUAGCAUAAUCUUUUUUUUCUUCUUUAUCAAGUUUGUAUUGAAAGUUUUGAAGUUUUACUGAACUGUUUAGCCUUCUGAAAAUGUUGUUAUUCGUUUUUUUCUUUUUCUCUUUUCUCAGAUGAUCCGAUAGCCAAGAGGUCUUCUGUACCUCAACUUAGAAACCCUCCUGAGACUAAAGAGUCAGAGAGAGAUUUGGAUACGGUAACUGUGGUUACUGCUCAUCAUCUUAUGUGUUUCUCGCCAAUGCAGUUAAAUUAGCUUUUCAACGUGUUUUAACACCAAGAGUUUGGUCACAGCAGGAAAGAGGACAAGAGGGAUUCACUAUCGUCGACUUGCAAAAGAAAAUGGGAAUCUCUGUUUCUUCAGGGUUACGCCUUCAAAUACCCGAGGAGUUAGAAGAUCAAGAGUUCGUUGAGUUAGGAACCAGAUUGAUUGAGGGAGAUGCAGUUGAUAAUGGAGCCUCCAUGAUUCAGGUGAGUUUUUCCUCUUGUCUAUUUUAGAAUGUGUGAUUGUGUUAUUCUUGUACUGAAAAUGCUUCUCAAUGAAAAGAUGGCAGCUGAAGCACUUCGUCAACAUUGGAAAGAGUCCACUCCAGAGACUUUGCAAUUAAAGGAGCUUGGUUCCUUGCUUCGAGAUUAUCAGCGACUGGUUACCCGAAAAUACACGUGAGUUCUUAUCCAUGCCUAACUAUUUCAGACUCAGUUCUUGUUUAUGUAGAUUAUCUUUUGUUUCACUAAAAAUGGUUGUUCUUUGAUUGCGCUUGGAAUCACCACAUGGCAUUAGAAUAACUUAGAUAAAUCUCCUGAGAGUUUAGGAGUCAUAUAGAGUUAAUAUGAAUAUAUCAUUUUUGUGUCUUGAAUAGCCCUCGAGACUUUUUAAUCCGAGCAUAUUGUCAAAACUGAUAAUGUUGUGAAUGCAUUGUUUUGUGCCCCUACUAUUACAUGUUAUGAAAUCUCACAUCUGCUUCUUCCUUUCCUUGACACAUGUUUCUUUUCAUUUGUUGUGGCGGGUUUCUAUCAGAUCACAGAGCAGCUUAACAUCUGCUGAUUUUGGAAAGAAGACGUUUACGUUUUAUCAUAUCAAAAAUUCUUCCGAGGUAUUACUCUGCAUACUUUCCUCCCUCGCCUGAAUAUUUGACACCAAUCAAUCAAAACAUCAGGCUUUCCUCCUGACAUGUCAAGUUUACAUUUUGCUAUUCUCAGUUGCGGAUGGAUGACAUUGCGGAGUUGCUGGAAGAAUACAAAACCCUUGUAAUCUGAUUGAGGAGCUCUGCCAUGAAACUCACAAGGAGAAUACAAAACUCAUCAAGUAGCUGCCAAGAAGAUCACCAAGAUUGCUAUCAGCAUUACCAUUGCAAACCACAAAGCUAAAAAGUCUCAAGAGAAUCACAUCUCUGAUAGACAACUAUGUGCAACUUCUUUUUAGCAAGAACAAAAAGAUACAACGUAUAUGUAAGACUUCCAUUAUCUCAACUUAAAUCCAUAUCUAAGCCUCUGCUCUUUUAUUUCUUGUUUGGGCUUUGAAAAUAGAUUGCUUUGCCUUGAAGCCAAUGCGAAAGUAAGGAAAAAAGUAGGCAAACUUCAUCUAUUAGACUUUGAAAUGGAUUACAACAACAACGGUACUCUUGAUAACUUAAACCACAGAGUUUCUGUCUGCAUAGACCCGUAUUGUCUUUUCUCUAUCCCCUAAAACAACUCGAACUCAAGAUGAUCUCCCAUGGCUUUACAUUCAAGAUAUCCAUUACCAUUUCCUUUAGGAGAAGUUGCUUCCGUUGCACCAUUCUCAUAUACAUCCGGCAGCUCAGGCGGAAUGGCGCAGCGGAUGAGAGCCCAGUUCAAUCCUUCAAAGAAUGGAUGCCUCUUGAUCUCUGCAGCUCCUUUCUCCCACCCGAGACGGCUCCCCGGAUCCUUCAUCACCAACCUUCUGAUCAAAUCCUUUGCCUGGAAGCUCACAAGAGGGCUAUCAGGAAACUUGAGGUUCUGAAACACAAACGUCUCCUCAUUGUCAUAACCUUUGAACGGUGUCUUCCCGUAUAAAAGCUCAUAGAGAAGAACCCCAAACGUCCACCAGUCUACUGCAGCACCGUGCCCUUCUCCUUUAAUGAUCUCCGGCGCCAAGUACUCGUGCGUUCCUACAAAAGAGUUUGAUCUUGCUUCAGUUGGUUCAGCCACAAGCUGAGGCAAUGAUCUGAACUGUUGGGUCAGAAGAUCAGGCCUUCUCUGUUUUCUUGGUUUUGAGUUUCUAGCUUGCGUUGACAAGAGCCUAGGGCUGAAACAUGGGACACAGCACGAUGGACUCUAUCUAAAUCACAGGUUCUUCAUCUUCUUUGGAAGCUGAGGAGCUUGAUACAAUAAGUGAAGACGAAGACAAACAGCAGUAUCCAGGCGAUGUGCACUGCAGCUACAGCUGGUAAGAAGUCAUGUUCGAACCCGGAUCCAUCUUUGAGCAACUGUUUUAGUUCCGUGUCUAGGAGACCAGUGUUCUGUACUAUCGAAUCUUGGUCUCCUACUUGAGAUGUGAUGCUUCCAUACAAUGUCCAGCCACUGGCGUUGCCUAGUAAUUAAUAUCAUCUCCACCAUAUCAAUAUUUGCUGCAUCCCCUCCUCCAUAAGAAACAUAAAACAUAAAAGUUAGGUAGCUCUAAAACACUUCUGAUCAUAACAAAAAGUAAGAUCUAUAACACACUUGAUGAUUACGUAACUUGGUUCGUAAUUUUUACCAAUCUUUGGGAUGAGGAACUGGAGAAAAGAUUCCAAAUAGACCGAGGAAGAAAGACAUGCAGAUUCCGGAGAUUUGAUAGUUUGGUGUCAAGGCCACAAAGCAUCAAGCUUGGUAACAUGUCGUAGUAGUAGAAGUAGAACCAGAAGAACUUGACCACAGUACGGUCGUAUCCUAUCAUUGAGUAAAGGAUUAUAGUAUGUAAACUCUAGUUUGUAUGGUGUCAUACUACAUGAUCUAACAACUUUGUCUAUAUUACCAACUAGUGGUAUGCCCGCGCUACGCGCGGGGCGGUUGUCUUGUGUUGUAAUAUUUAUUUUAAAUGUAUUGUCAUCUUUUGUUUGAUUAUAGGUAAAUGAAAAAUUAAUGUAAUAAAAAUUGGUUUGAUUAUAUUAUCAUUAACUCAAAAAAUAAAAAUUAAUUUUUAGUUAUACUUGAGAUCAUGAAGCAUUAUUUUGAUCAACUGAUGAUAAUAGAUAUAAGUUUUAACUGUCAAAGAUAAAUUGUAGAGUACAAUGUGCAUAGUAUAAUAUAGGCUUGACAUUUUAUGUAUAAAUUUAGAUAUCUAUUAGUUUUUUUGUUUGAAAUAAGUAUUUUUUUAAAAUUGUUCUUAUUUGAUUAUAUUUGGGAAAGAAAUGCUGAGAAAGAAAAUUAUUUUGUAAAGAGGGAAUUUUUUUUGUUGUUGAAAUUAAUACAAAGGAGAAAACAGUACAGAAAUGAAACUGGAAAUUAGAAUAUAAUAAACCCCCUUAUUAGUAGUAAUUAAGCUGAAAUCAUAGAUUACUUUCCCUACGUAUGGGACAUUUUUUGUUCGUGCGAAGCCAUCGAUAAAUGUAAGGAAAAUAGAAAUUAUGGUUGCAAGUAAGAGAGUAAAUAUUGUUUUCAUAGUUGAAAUUCCUAAAGCACAUAGUGCAUUCUUCAAUAGUUGGAAGCCUAUUAAUUUCCUCUAAAUCGACGUUAAGUUUUGCAUCGCGUUUUGGUUGUAGCCCUUGAUAGUAAGAGUAAAUUGAAGAUCAUCAGUCAUGGUAUGUUAACAUGAAUUCUAUGCUUUCGGUUGUUGAAUCAUUAAAAUUAAAUUGAUUGUCAAUGAUAGAUGGUAGCUGAAAAUUAAUAAUGGAUUGUUGUGUGUUAGAUCUGGGGAUGUAGACUUGGAGUAUUUGUUGCGGACUUUCUCCUGAAGAUCUUGUUCGGAGUGAUAGCUGAUAAGAGAGAAGUGGUUUGUUAUUUACUUUUGAGUUCUUUGUAAGAGUUUUAUGGUGAAAGUAUGAAAAUGUUUUAUAAAUAUGUCUUAUAGAGUGUGAAUUAAGUUUUUGAUUUAUUUUGACUUCUUCUUACGUUUGGUAUUAAGAACUAUUUAUUUUGGAGGUUUAAUUUUUUGAGUUGAUGGUUUUUGAAGACUUGACUGUUCUGUUUAGGUUGAUUUGUUACUUCUUAUCGAGAUUUUUAUAAUAUACAUAUAGAGUUUAUUUGUAAGAGAAAAUGAUAAUAGGGUAAUUUUCCUAAAUACACAUUUUUAUGUUUUUGUCACAAAAUAGCUUCAAAUGAGUAAAAUGACUAAAAUGUCUCAUUUAAGAGAAAAAGAUAUUUAUACCCUAGAUAUAUAAAUACAAAUAAAAUAUAAUUUAUAGUUUCCAAUUAUAUGUUUUCAAAUUUGAACUUUCUUAUAAAAAUAUAUUUUGUAAAAGUCCAUUCUUUAACUCGAAACCCUAAAGUUUAGAUUAGUUAACCUCAAUUUUAUAAAAAAAUUGAAACCUCUAUCCUAAAACUUUAUCCUUUAACUCGAAACCCUAAAGUUCAGAUUAGUUAACCUCAAGGAUAUAAGUGUAUAUUUAUCUUUUAUUUUGGUUAUUUUUAUUCUAAAAGACUAUAUUUGUGACAAAAAAAAUUUAGGACUGUAAUAGGAAUUUCUCAUGAUAAUAUAUGCUUUUUAUAUUUCGAUGAAUCUUAUUAAUAAUAUAAUUUUAGUUUGGUUAAUUAUUAUUAUGGUUUAACAUUUCAACGAUAGUUUUACUCUUAAUUUUGAUGUUUCUAUAAUGUGCGUUGUUCUAAACUGAAAUUAAUUCGUAUUAGUUAUUUGUAGUUAUGUUAAUAUAUAUUUUUAUUAGUUUUAGUAUAGUUUUAAUGUCCUUGGCUAAAAGCAUUCUACAAAACUAUAGUAUAGUAUAGUUUUAAUUUGGGUUUCCAUAUUUAAUGGAAACGUAGUGGGUCUAGGAGAUUAAUGGUGUUCUUUUGUUGCUGUUGGAAUACGUUAUUGUUUUCAAAGUUUUGAUUUGAGUUAUUAAAUUUAUCAUUUAUAAUUUGAGAUUUUAUAUCAUGAAACUUUAAAACACGAUUGUUUUGUGACUUGUUUGAAAUAAUUAGUAUAUUAUACUUUAAAUUUUAUAUUAAUUUAUUUUAUCGUUAGUAAUUAACAAAGUUCAAGUUAUUCUCCCAAUAAUUGGUUCCAAAAAAAUAAUUGUGCUUUUUCAGUAAUUUACUGUUAAGAAAAUAAAGUUGUAAAUGUUAUGUGAUAUAAUUUUAAGUUAUAUUACACUGUUAUUUUAUAUUUUCUACAAAACAAUUUAUGGACAUUGUUAUUUUUGGCUCAUUUGAAUACACGAAAAAAAAUCUAUUGAUGGACUACACCUACGUUUGGGGAUUAGCAUACAUCUUUUCAUAUGUUUCCUAGGUUAAUAAAAUAAUAUUUCUAUUUUAUCUUCUAUUUAAAUUUAAAAUUUCUAAAUAUCCAUUUUGAUUAUAUAUUUUAUAUAUUUUGAGUAUCGUUGGCUGAAUUUCCUCUCAAAUCCUAGUUACCAAUAUGCCUUAAUUGUUUAAAAGUAGUAGAAAAGCCCAAUAAAAAUCUCUAAACCGAAGACGUUAUAGAGAUGAAGUCUCAGAUUCCGGAAGAGGAAGAGGAUGGAGCAGGAGAGACCCCGAUGGCGAAACAUAGAAACCCUAAAAGAACAAAUUAAGUUUUCUAGAUGAAGAGAAGAGCCCAGAGCCCAGGAACACAUUAAACUAUUCAGAGAGAAAGAGAAUGGCCCACGAAACAAAAACAAACGGACAAAACAAAAUAAACCCACGAAACAACACAAUUUAAGAAACGUAAAUGAAAUCAAACGAACAAAAGCUUUGUAAAAUAGAGACACGUGGCGAAAUUUAGAUAUAUGAGUGCUGAGGUGGAGGCCUGAGGAGCCUUUCCAAGCUACUUUAUUAAUAUAGAUUUUCCCAAUUAAUUAUUUCUAACGAAAAUAUAAUGUAUAAAUAUCAAUGAAUAUAUUUUGAAAGUUGAAAAUGAGGAAGAAAUUUUUUUUUUUACCAAAAAGAAUAAUAAGGGAGAACUAUAGUGAAUGCUUCGAGUGGGCUUAAGCAAACGCAUUAUUGCCUGCGAAAAGUCAUUAUCGCUACAGACUAGAAAACUCACAUAUUUUCUUUUUAUUCAAAAUUAGAACCACAGAUGGCAGCCAAUAUAGACUGUUGAUAAGAUUGACUUGGAGUCUACUCUUUCAUUGCCACUCAUAUCUCUUCUUCCAAAGAACCUCUCUAAGCAAGUUGAAGAGCUGUUACAUGAAAGGUAAAUCAUGUUCUUGUAUCAUUAUUUGUCUGUUUAACUUGCUUUGAUCUGUCUUUUGGACUCUGUUGUGGUUGAAUCUGAAUUUAAAAACGAAAAUUCGUUAGAUUAUUACAAAUCUUGUUUUACGAAUUUAAAGCAUUUAAUCAUCAAAUCUUGUUAUAAAUUGUUUGAAUAAAAGUAAGUUAAGUAAAGUUCCUCUGACAUGUAUCAUAUUUUAUUAGAUAAACCAAGGAUUAUCACAGCGGUUUUAAAUCUUACUACAAGUUUGUACUUAUGUAUUGAUGGUGGAACAGGAGAAUAGUGAUGGCUGAGGGAGUUGUGUCGUUUGGAGUGGAGAAACUCUGGGAUCUCCUGAGUCGAGAAUCAGAGAGACUGCAGGGAGUUCAUGAGAAAGUUGAUGAUCUAAAAUGUCAGAUGAGAAUGUUACAGUCAUUGUUGGAAGAUGCAGAUGCCAAGAGAUAUGAGAGUAAAGUAGUGAGAAGCUUCUUGGAAGAUGUCAAAGACAUUGUUUUUGAUGCAGAAGAUAUAAUCGAAUCCUUUCUUUUGAAAGAACUUAGUGGAAACCAAAAAGGGAUCAAGAGGCGUGUGAAAAGACUUUCUUGUUUCUUAGUGGAUCGCCGAGAUAUUUCUAUGGAAAUUGAAGGCAUAACUACGAGAAUGUCUAAGCUUGUUGCGCAAAUGCAGAGCUUUGGAAUACAACAGAUCAUCUACAGAUCACCGUCUCUACAAGAGAGACAAAGACCAAGGGAGAACCGACAAACAUAUCCAAAGACAUCUCAAAAGGAUCUUGUGGGGGUGGAACAGAGUGUUAACGAAUUGGUUAGUCAUUUGGUGGAGAAUGAUAGCAUCCAAGUAGUUUCCAUAUCUGGGAUGGGUGGUAUUGGAAAAACCACUCUUGCGAGACAAGUUUUUCAUCAUGACAUUGUUCAAAGUCAUUUUGAUGGAUUCGCAUGGAUCUGCGUUUCGCAAGAUUUUAAGAAGAAGGAUAUUUGGCAAAAGUUAUUGCGAGACCUCAGACCACAUGAGAAGGGAAUCGAACAUAUGAAUGAGGAUACACUCCAGGCUAAGAUCUUUCAUUUGUUGGAAACAUCUAAAUACUUAAUUGUCAUGGAUGAUGUAUGGAAAAAAGAAGACUGGGAUGUAAUAAAAGACGUAUUCCCCCAAGCAAGAGGUGAGCUCUCUAAUUGUACAAACAUUACUUCCCAUAGCUAUUUCAUAAAUGCCUUUGAGUCCUUGAGAUGAAAGGAAAUACAAUUGCAGGUUGGAAGAUGAUUCUUACUUCACGCAAUGAAGGUGUUGGUUUGCAUGCCGACCCAUCAUGUUUUCCCUUUAGACCAAAAAUCCUUACUCCUGAAGAAAGUUGGAUGCUAUGUGAGAGCAUAGCAUUCCCUAGAAGAGAAAUAACGGGUAUGUUUCUAUAUAAGACAUAUGAAUCUCUUACGGGCCUUCUUAUCAAAAAUCUUUUGUACUAAUUCCUAAAUUAUCAUCUGGGAUGACAUAUAUUGUUAUAUAUACUAGGUGUUUAUCGGCAUAUAUAAGAAGGAUAAAACAUAUUUUUGUAAAUUUUUUUAUGCUUAGAAUUUUAUUUUAAGAUAACAACCCAAUAUACCUAUAUAUAUGAUUUCUAUUUUUAUCUUAAAAAUAUAUUUUUAUUUUUUGACUAUUUUCUUAUCUUAGUCAAUCUAUUAAAUAAAUCCAAAAGUUGAUUAUAUAAAUUAUAAAUCUAGACAAGAACAAAAAAAAACAAUUUCAUUGCCAAUAAUGAAUUAUUAGAAUCUUUGAUUUAUAUAGUCCCAUCCGUUACUUUAUGUAUGUGUUAUUUAGGAGGGUCAUUGGUAAGUGAAUUCUUAUGAACUUUGGAAAAUUUGAGAUUUCAUUAUUAUUAGUUUUUGGAUUUCAAAUAUCUUAAUAGAAUCCGUUGUUAUUGGUUUUAAAAAAAAUCAAAAUCCAUUCAAAUCUUUUGUUAUUCAAAAAGUUUAGUUAUUAUUGAUUCUCUAAUUCUAACUAAAUUCAGUGUUACUGGGAGAUGAAUUUUAUUUAUUUUUAUUCAUAAGACUCAACUAUCAAAAUAUGUAUCCAUAUGAUUUUCAAAAUCCAUGUGAUAAAAAACUAAAAAAUAAAAUAAUUAUUCUUACCAAUUAUCUAUUGAACCUUAAAUCCAAAUUAUACGUCCAAAAAUAUAAUUAAUUACAUUUAUAUACUUUUACAUUUUUGAAUAUAUAAUUAUUUUUAUAAAUAUUAUCAUUUUUAAUAUAAAUAUUAAUAAUUACAUUUAUAAAUAUUAACAAGUUUUAAUAUAUUUUUUUAAAAAUAGUUUCGAAAACCAUUUUCAAAUUUAUAAAAAUUAUAAAAAGUUCAAAUUUGAAAACAUCUAAUCCGAAAUUAUAAAACAAAAUUUUUUAUUUUUAUUUUAUUUUUAUUACUUAUAUAUCUAUAAAGCAAAGGGAAAAAUAGUUUUUUGCCCUUUUAAUAAAACUUCUUUUGGUCAUUUUCCUUUUUGAAUAUUUUUUGUGACAAAAACUUAAAAAUGACUAUUUAAGAAAAUUGUACAAUUUUGUAUGUAUCACUAUUAUUUUCUUUUUAAUUUGAAGAAAAAAAUAAAUAAUCAUGCUAUAUGAUUUAGAAAAUAUAUAAAUUAUAUAUUUACUUUACAAAAAAAAAUUAUAGAAAAGAGGUAAUACAAAUUCAUGAAAAUCUUUUCCAAUCUAAAAAGGUUAUUAUCAAAUUUCAUAAGUCGAUGUAUUUAAAUUUUUACAAUCUACAUAACUUUUAAAAAUCUAUCAACUCCAUGGAUGGAUGGAUGGAUGGAUUUGCGAAGUGAUUUUUUGCAAUGGAGUUCUCACGUUAAAAGUUAGAGUGGUAAAUAUUGUGUAUACCCUUAAUGAAUAAAAUAUAUAUUAGCAAAAAAAAUAAAAAUUAAUUUAUUUUUUCUUAGAUAAUUAUUUAAACUAAUAAUAAGAAUUAUCCAAAAUCUAAAAAAAAAAAGAUAAUUCCUAUAGAUAUUGUGUUGUUAUCUGAAAAAAUCAUUUAAUAAAAAGUUCAAAGUUAAAAAAAUGGAAAACACAUAACUAAAUAUAUUAAUCAAGUAAAUGCUUGAUUUUAUAUAAUUGAAAAGAGCAUAUUGAGUGAUUUCUAAAAUUUAUUUAUUAAUAAUUAAUGAAUAUAGUGUAUAAGGAAAUAUUCAAAAAUUAUAAUACAUAAAAAAAUCAAAUGAAAAAAUAAAUAAUAAUUUAUCAUUAUAGUAUUCUAAUUAUUAAUACAUAUAUUAAUAAGUAAUUAUAAAAUACUUAUGUCUACGGAAGAAACACCUAGUAAUAGUAUAAUAUACAAGUUUAGCAAUAUGAACUUCAUAUUGUAAGCAUGGCCGGCUUUUGAGGAAGGCGGUCAGUGCGACCACUCCGCGGCCCGUUUCAAAUCAUGUUAUGUUAAGGGCCUUAAGAGUUAUAAAAUUUAGAGAUUCUAUUGUUAUUGGUUUAUGUAUUCUUAUAAUCUUGUUAGAAUCCUUUGUUAUUGGUUUAUGAACUUUUAAAUUUCAUAUAAAAUCCUUUGUUAUUCAAAAAGUCUAGUUUUUAUUGAUUUUGUAAUUUUAGUAAACUCUCUUGUUAUUGGGACAUAAAUUCUCUCUAGUUUUACUCAUAACACUCAACUUUACAAAUAUCAUCUAUACUCAUAAGAUUUUUAGAAUCUAUGUAACAAAAAACACAAAUAUACAAACACAAAAAGUUUUGUAUUACAUUUUUGUUGUCAUGUGAAAGAUAAUUGUAAAAGGAAAUUUAAAGAUAACAAAUUAUUAAAGAUAACAUAAUUAAGAAUAUGAAAAAAUCAUAGGUUGACCUCAGAAAACUUUAAACAAAAAUCAAAAAAGACAAAUUCAAAUAUUAAAAAAAUAAAAAAAAAAUAUUUUAACAUCAAAUAACUAUAUUUCUUGAAAUAAAAAGUUUAGAAGUAUUUUUAUAAAUAGAUAAAUCUGGAAAGAAAAACAUAUAUGGAAAUUCAUGCUAAUCAAUCAUAAUCAAUGAAAAUUUAUACAAUACAUAUGGCAAGAAUUCAUCAAAUUUACUUAACUCUUAAAAAAAUUUGAACUUUAAAAAUUUUCAGAUUCUAAGCAAAUUUCAUUUUCAAUAGGCCCCUAAGAAAUCAAGUAUAAAUUUUUGCUCGAUGUUAUGCCUAAGUUGAAAAGUUAAAGAAACACAAAAUUUAAAAAAACAGACUAGUUAUGGGCCUCAAAAUUUUGAUUUGCCCUGGGGCCCUCUAAUUGUAAGUGAUCUUAAAUGUUCGAAACAAAAAAAAUAUAAAAUACUAAGUAAACUAUUAAAAGAGUCCUCAUAAAAACUAACAAUUCUCCGGAUAAUCAUUAAGUUAGAAAAAAUAUAUAUAAUUCUUUUUAAUUUAUAAAAUUAAUUAUAGAUUAAAAGUAUCAAUGACUUUAGUCGUUAUAACUUUUAAUAUAAGAGUUCAGAGGUAAAAAAAUCACAAGUUUAGCAAUACAAACUUCAAAACAAAAAAAACGUAGUAGUAAUACAAACUGACGUAAGUAUAAAAUACUAAGUAAACUAUAAAAGGGGCCAUCAUAAAAACUAACAAUUUUCCAGAUAAUCACUAAGUUAGAAAAUCUAUAUAAUUCCUUUUAAUUUAUAAAACUAAUUAUAGAUUAAAGAUGUCAAUGACUUUAGUCGCUAUAACUUUUAACAUGAGAGUUCAGAGGUAAAAAAUCACAAGUUUAGCAAUAUAAACUUCAUAUUGUAAGUGAACAUAAAUGUUCAGAAAAAUAAGUGGUAGUAAUACAAACUGACGUAAAGUAUAAAAUACUAAGUAAACUAUAAAAGAGGCCAUCAUAAAAACAAACAAUUCUCCAGAUAAUCAUCCAGAUAAUCAUUAAGUUAGAAUAUAUAUAUAAUUCCUUUAAAUUUAUAAAUUAAUUAUAGAUUAAGGGUAUCCACGACUUUAGUCGCUCUAACGGAUGAGAGAUCAAAAGUAAAAACAUCACAUUGCUAAUAAUAGUACAAAUAGAUAGAUAUAUUAUAAUUUUUUGAAAAUUUGAAAAGACUAGACACAUAUAUUAUUUCAAGACUAAUCUAUAAUAUGCUUUACUGUUUUCAGAAUUUAAUGUUGAUGAAGAACUAGAAGCCAUGGGUAAGAAAAUGGUCAAAUAUUGUGGAGGACUACCAUUAGCCGUUAAAGUGCUGGGAGGCUUGUUAGCUAAUAAAACCAUGGUUGAAGAGUGGAAAAGAGUAGAUGACAAUAUUCAAACUCAGAUAGUUCGCAUAGAUGACAAAAGUCAAGAUUCUGUUUACCGAGUAUUGUCUAUGAGCUAUGAAGAUUUGCCAAUGCAGUUAAAGCAUUGCUUUCUCUACCUAGCUCAUUUUCCCGAAGAUUACGAGAUACAAGUGGAGAGAUUGUAUUAUCUCUGGGAAGCAGAAGGAAUAAUAACGUCAAGUGGCGAUGGAGAAACCACUAGGAAAAUUGGAGAAGAAUACAUAGACGAGCUAGUAAGGAGAAAUAUGGUUAUUGGAGUAAAAGAGGAUUUGAGUUGCAAAUGGGAGUAUUGUCAAAUGCAUGACAUGAUGAGAGAAGUAUGUUUAUAUAAAGCCAAAGAAGAGAACUUUCUUCAGUUUAUCGAAGUCCCUACUUCUUCCACCUCCACCAUCAAUGCUCAUACUCCUACGGGAUCUCGCAGACUCGCAGUACAUGGCGGUGAUACGCUGGGACGUCAAAACAAUAAAAAAGCUAGAUCUAUUUUGGGUUUUGGACUCAACAGCAACUUGUGGAAGCAGUCAGGUCAAGGAUUCCGAAAUUUACAAUUACUUAGGGUCUUACAUCUGAAUUUACAAACACAUGAUAGCGACUCUAGAGGAGGGAGAAUACCUUCGAGCAUUGGGAAGCUCAUUCAUUUGAGAUAUUUGAGCUUAGACAUGGGUUGUGCAACUCAUGUACCUUCUUCUUUACGGAAUCUAAAGCUUCU
RNAcentral lists this long non-coding RNA (83382 nucleotides) under Brassica rapa (field mustard). RNAcentral describes it as "long non-coding RNA (BRAP_LNC003301)". The stretch from base 10618 to 10724 matches the Rfam family "Plant small nucleolar RNA R71". Lineage: Eukaryota; Viridiplantae; Streptophyta; Magnoliopsida; Brassicales; Brassicaceae. The record is from RNAcentral.